AACUAUUAUUUAAUAAUUCUCACGCCCUCUGUUUUGUGCUUUCUUUACAGAGCCCUCUACACCGGUGGAGGCACGGGAUCGUGGCAAGGGAGUUACCUAGCUAGAUAGGGAGGAGGUUACUUGUCACGCCCCGCCCCGAAACCAAUACCAAUUUGGCACGAUUCGGCUGCGGCGACGGACCGCCGAACGGACAGCACCUCCCUUGUCCGCCCAAGGCUCAACGACAGGAAUGUGUACAAGAAUUUACCCAGGACUUUAAAUUCUAAACAUACACAUUCAACGAGGGCACAAACAGUGCCAACAACAAGAAGAGCAAGUAAUCCACAAGAUAUACGAGUGAAAUAAAGAGAGUACUUUACUAACUAUUACAAUAGUUGCAUUCUUUACAUUUACAUCAUUUUCCCAAAAUGAAUACACUUGAUCCUCGAAAUACAUAGCUUUUCAACCUCACCUACAUGAAUCUCUCUCUAUACAUAGGUGUGCUAAUGCAAAAGGAAAGCUACUAUACUAUCACGGCCUCACUGAUCAGGCGCGACGCCCUUGCCGCGGUCCUCUCUCUGCAGCCCUGAACCUACCACUGGAAAUAGAGUGGGGUGAGAACUAUCUUCCAUAGUUCCCAGUGGGCUCGGCCGCCGACUCUGCCGAUCUCCCCACUAGGUCCAAGUGGGCACAAGUAACAACAGAUAGAUAGAUAGAUAGAUAUGUAUCUGAAAGCUGUAAAUGCAGUAGUAGGAAAACUAUGCUACUAUGCCCAUAAUCAUGAAUAUGAAUGCAUGCAUCAUAUAAUAAAGGUUUGCUACCAUGCUAACAAAUUCGAUCCAUGUUCGAAUAGCAAUGUUCAAUGACAUUAAUAAACCUUUAACCUUUUCAUUUACCCAAUCUGUGGCGAGGCCCUAGGGCUCGCCCAUGACUCACCUUCAAAUCCCAAAGUGGGGAGGGAGCUCCAAGUGCACCCAAGCCCGAGACCGUCUGCGGACGUCCAUGUGGUCCGGACCUCCAAGUGGUCCUAGUCGCGCGACACUCCGGAGUACUCGACGACAAUCCCCUCCAUGUGGGGAUUGGAUGGCUAUACCAUCCUAAACGCAGACUGUGAGCUAGAUCUAUCCUCUCCAAGUGAGGAUACACUGUAACUAGGGUCUACACCCAAUCCAAUCCUCUCCAAGUGAGGAGGCUCUACAACUAGAGUCAAUAACCCAAUCGAAUCCUCUCCAAGUGAGGACGCCCUACACUAGGGUCAACGACUAUCGCGGAAUCAUCGGUUCCCGACAUUCAUGUAAUGCUAUUUAGUUUUCUAAAUUCAUUGUUCACAAGGCAUUUUCUAAGGGAUCCACUUAUCCCUAGGUCCAUCGACCUCUAGUGUUAUUUACACUACAUUAAUGCCACUCGUUAUCAUUCAAUGUUUGGAUGCCACUCGUUUGUUCUUUAACAAUAACACUACUUUCUAUGUCAUCAACACUCCUAUCGGGUUCAUCUCUAUCUUUAGCAUCAUAGGAUCCACCUUCCGACCCAAUCCUCACCUAUCUAGUUACCAAGCGUUCCAAGUACACUAAGUCAUCAAUUAGAAAGCAUAAGGAAUGGAGCUACUAAGCAAUCCUACAAUGCAACAUGAAGAGAUGAGAUUAAAUGCAAUCUAAGACAUAGAAAGGAGUUCGAAAGUUUCGGAUGACACCCCCCACCUUUAAUCGAUGUAGAGGCUUGGAAAAUCCUUCUCGGCGAGCUCUACGAAAAGGCUUUAGCCUUCCUCGCCCGAAUCAACACUAGCCCGGCCCGAUUUUGCCGAGAACUUCACGUCGGUUCGCCGAAUGCCGAAAUCGACUUCGCCCCCGCGUUUUGUGACCUAUCAAUAGGGUUUCCAAGGCUUCAAAUGAGACCAAUCUCAUACUUAUACAAAAACCCCAUUUUGGAGCCCUAGGUUUGCACCUAUAGCAAACCACCCAAUAAAUCCCUAGAUUCUUGGGAUUGAUCUAUUUAGAAGCUAGCUUAGGGUCCAUUUGACCCAAUCCAAGGCAUAAAAUCCAAAAACUCUAAGUUUACAAAGCUAGGGUUUAGUAGCUUACCUCAAGAGCUACACCAAUGGGAAGAGGAGAGGGAGAUGGAGGUGCUCAAAGCCUUCCUCUUGAUCUCCUUCUUCUUCUCCUUCCUUAUCUUCCUUUUUUUUUCCUUCCUCUCCUUCUUAUUCUUCUUCUCCUUCUUUCCUUUCUAGAGAGAGAGAGAGGGAGCAAGAGAGAAAUGAGAGUGAGGGAGAGUGGAAUGAGAGAGUGUGAGGGAGAGAGAGGGCUCAGCCCACUCAAAUAAAAGCCAUUUUGCAUAAAAGCCCCUCAACUUUCCCUCCUGUGCACUGCCCUCACUAGGCAGUUUUCGCGCGGAGGGACCGGUCUCCCCGACUUGGGACCGGUCCCCGAGAGCUUCCCUCGGGCGCACGCGUUCGGGAACCGGUCUCUCCCCGGGAGACCGGUCCUCGGGAGACCGGUCCUCACCUGAGAGACCGGUCCCCAAGAGCUUGAUUUUCAGGACUUAGCCAAUUUUUGGCAUCUCUCGCUGGGACCACGUUCGGGAACCGGUCCCCCCCUACCAGGGACCGGUUGCGUCAUGCAACCCCGCUACAACAAGCCAGGGGAACCGGUCUCUUACUUGCAGAGACCGGUCCCCGAGAGCAACAUCAGCCCAAUGAUGCAAUUUGCCUCAUUUGCUCUCGCGGACUCAACUCCAAGGCACUUUUUGUGCUUUGGACAUUCCCAACUCCCACAAAGGGUAUACUUUUGACAAUUAGUCGAUCCUGGAUGAAGUACAAUCCUCAUAUUUCGAGAAUUCACUUCCUUACAUUACUUUUGUUUAGGUAGUUUUCUCUCUUUUGUGUUUUGUUGAGAGAGAGAGAGAUUUUGUAUCCAUGUAUAAAGACCACCUCUGUAUUACCUUCAGUUUAUGUACUCGGGUUUUGUUAUUGUACUACCUUAUGGUUUUAUUUAGUGGAUCUAGCUCUUUACUUAUUUUCUUUUCCUUGUCAUAGAUACUAGAUGUUGUAUACUCUGAUAUCUCUAGAUCUCUUCGUGUUGUUGCUUUAUUUAUUACCUUAUUGUAGACGCCUUAUAUAUUUUAGACGUAUGGCGGGUCUGGACACGCGCCGGGCGGGCUUCCGCUGUGUCCCGGGGCGUGACAGAUCAUGUCUAUGAUGUUCAUAAUGCUACAAUAAGUGACGAUACAUCUCAUUACUAUUCUAACCAUACAUUAUGCCAAUCAAUAUAAGUGUAACAUACUACCACUAGGGUGUCAAUGCUAACAAUGACUAACAUAAGGUCCACAUAUGCACUAUCAUGCAUAUCCACUAGUCCAACUGAUAUAAAUCAUCUAGUAGUAGUUUUCACAUUACACUUUAGGUUUCGUAGUUCAAUCCUCAUCAUGGAUCUACACAUGUGUAGUCCGGCUUGUGCCGUGCCAAAAAUGGCCCCGUAGUAGUCAACAUUCCCACUCUAGGAAUGAGCCUCCCCCACGGCAUCCCAUUUCAGCGCCCAAUCCCGCACGGGCGAGCUUGUGUCACAUAGGCUAUCUCCGGAGUGCCACCUUGUGGGGAGCGACCCUCACAAGAAUGUGUGAAUGAGCACAAAGGCAAGCAAGCGUGAUCAAUAGUAUCCAACUCUCGGUCAUCAUGUCUAAAAUAUGGAAUAAGUGGCAAUGACCCUAAAGGUCCCAUAUAGUAUUACGAUGUCAAGGUUUAUCAUUUAUUAACCCAAAUGUCACUACAUGACGUUCAUGAUUACUAUGUCAAGUAACAGUCACUAGUUCAAAUGCACACAACCAUUGCCAUUAUCCUAUCUAGGGUAGUUCACUUUUGUCCAAGUCUCAAUGAGAGUUCACACUUAGUCUAUUCCACUAAAGCUAAGGAAGUCACUUUCUUAUGGUGUAUGCAUAGUUACCACUAAUUAUUUAUAAUGCUCAUGAUGCAAGCCAUGCACAUAUAUCUUCCUACCCAUACCUCCACCUUAUGGAGUAAUAACAAUUAUGCGAGUGCUUUCAUUCAAUAAUGCCAUAUGCAAAUAUUCAACUAGAAUGAAUGUUCCAACUUGGUUUCUUAUAGAUCUUACAUGUACUACGUUACCAUGCCCCAACUACUUGCCUACAACAAGUGUGAUAUUGUCAUGCAAAUAUAUGCUAAGUCUCAUUCAUGCACAUGUCUAAGUCAUGUAGUUAUGCUAUCAAUCUCAAGGUCAACACCGUGUUAGUUACUAGGUCACAAUACCCUAUUUUCUUGUCUACACAAGUAUAUUAUUUAAUAUGUAAGAUGAUCACUUUACUAAACCGAUAAGUCGAGAUCCCCUAAGGGUCAUACCAUCAUUCAUGCUCUAACAUGCUUUCUAAGGUUGCAUAAAAGAGAAUUCACCAAAUAGGGCUAAUUCAUGCACAAGCUCACAUAAGAGAUUCUACUACAUAGAGCAUCAAAUUGUCUUUACAUAGCAUAUAUGUAAUGUUUCUCAUAAAUUAUCGCAUGUCAUUUUGAGUAUAAAAAACCAUUUAAUUGGAUCUUAAAACUAAAAGGAGGUUUAGGGGGGAGUUCACCUAUUUUGGUGAGAUCAAACCCAUCGGAAAUACUUCGAACUCUUUCGUAACGCCGAACGAAGUUGUCCCCUAAGAUUCUAGCACCCUAAGAAAAAUUCCAAAGGGGUUAAAAGUUACAAAACAACUACUUCAAAAAUUACACAUACAAGGUGUAAAAUAUACCUUGAGUCAAGAAGAACUUGAUCAAAGCCGAAAUCGAAGCUUGAAAAUUUCAAAUCCAAACUAUAAGAGUGUUCUACACUCAUCAAUUCCAACCCUAAAGCCUCAAAUCAAGAAACCCAAAAUAAAAUUCUAGAUUUCUCAUUUCUAGGUUUUAUCUCAAAAAUUCCACUAAAUCAAGAAUCAAAAUAGGGAAACAUGUUUCUAACCUAUCUAAAAGCUUCAAACAAGACUUGGAAUGAGCUAGGGUUGAAGAUCUCUCCUCCAACAAGCUUUUUACCAAGCUCCAAGCCUUCUCCAAAGGUGCAAAGUCCCCAAAAUGCAAAAUAGAGCAAAGAGGGGAGAUCAAAACCUAAAAUCCCAAGCAAAAAGGGAAGAAAAACUAAGGGAAAAAUAGAGUGGAGCUCACCUCUCCCUUUUCUAGUCGCAGCCCAAAAGCCCUUGUCCAAGGGGUGAGGGUGUAUAUAAGUUAUUGCGACAAAAGCGAAAAGAUCCUUCAAAAACUGCCAGACUGCAGUUUACACUGUGUACCGGUUCACGAAAAAGUGUAUCGUUACAAACUACUGUGCGCGCAAACCCGAGCCUCGGGUUGGCGGAAAACAACCCAUCUAUACCGGUACAAUCAUUAAGGUGUAUCGGUACAAAACCCGUUCCGGUACAACCAUUAAGGUGUACCGGUACACUUUCCUGCAGAGACAAACCCGAGAGCAACCCAAUAAUCUUCACUUUGGAGAUAUUAGUGCUAAGUUUAAACCUCGAUUCUCGAAAUACGAGCCAUAGGUCGGAACACUGUCGACGACCCUCCAGAAAGUCUGGAAAAAACUCAGAUCACAAAUCAAACACUCGAACCUCGCAAUUUGCAAAAGUUUAGUGUGUUACAAUUUGGCUAAAGUCCGGAUUACUUUACCGAAGUUUCGGUAUGUUACAUUCUCCACCCCUUAAAAUUAGUUUCGUCCGCGAAACUAACUUAAUUAACAUCUAGAUUUAUACCUUAAUCCAGAUUCUCGAAGAGAUGGGAAUAAUGCUCUCUUAUUGCACUCUCGAGCUCCCAAGUAGCUUCCCGAUCAUCGUGGUUCUUCCAACAAACUUUAACAUAUGAAAUCUCACGGAUUCCUAGUUUUCUUACUUCUCGAUCGAUGAUGUACGUCGGGAACUCUUCAUAAGUCAUAUCCUCUUGAAUCUCGGACGGUUCAAAUGAGAGAAUAUGCUUGGGAUCGUGAAUAUACUUGCGGAGAUUCGAUACAUGAAACACAUCGUGCACUCCCGCAAGCCUCGGUGGUACUGCUAACUUGUAUGCCACCGUGUCAACACGCUCCAAUAUCUCGAACGGUCCAACGUACCGGGGACUUAGUUUUCCACGGACUCCAAACCGUUUAACUCCCCACAUUGGGAUAUUUUUAGGAGUACGCUGUCUCCAACUGCAAACUCUAUAUCCUUUUUUCGCUUGUUGGCAUAGCUCUUUUGCAAGAAUGCGCCGUAGCAAGCCGUUGGCGGGCAAGGCGAACUUUCUUCUCCGCCUCCCGCACCAUAUCUGGGCCAAGAGUAACUCUCUCGCCCACAUCGCUCCAAUGAAUUUGAGAGCGACACUUCUUUCCAUAAAGGGCCUCGAAUGGCGCCAUCGCGAUAUUUCCUUGAUAACUAUUAUUGUACGCGAACUCCGCCAUCGGUAAAUGAUCAUGCCAUCCGCCCUUGUAGUCAAGUACACACGCUCGAAAUAUGUCCUCAAGUAUUUGUAUCAUCCUCUCCGAUCGACCAUCACUUUGAGGAUGAAAUGCCGUACUAAAAUCGAGCCGUGUGCCCAACGCAUCCUGUAGGCUCCUCCAGAAGUGAGAUAUGACCCUCGGGUCUCGAUCCGAUAUAAUAGACACGGGAACCCCAUGAAGUCUCACUACCUCGUCGAGAUAGACUUGAGCCAUCUUAUCUCCCGACCAUGUAGUAUGAAUCUAUAAAAAGUGCGCCGACUUCGUCAAUCGGUCUACUAUCACCCAAAUUGCAUCGUGUCCGCCUUGAGAUCGAGGCAAUCCGGUCACGAAAUCCAUUGUGAUAUUUUUUCAUUUCCAAACGGGUAUAGGUAGGCUUUGCAACUUUCCUACCGGAAACCGGCGCUCCGCCUUGACUUGUUGGCACGUAAGACAUUCUGCUACAAAUUCCCCAAAGUCUUUCUUCAUGCCCGGCCACUAAUAGUAUACUUUCAAAUCUUGAUACAUCUUGGUGCCGCCGGGGUGAAUACUAUAAGGAGAUUGGUGCGCUUCUUGUAUAAUCGCCUUGCGAAUGUCCUCAUUUUUAGGCACACACCAACGAUUUCUAAACCGGAGUGCGCCGUCGGUCCCAAUGCCAAAAUCAUCUACACUACCGCUCUCAACAUCACCCUGCAUCUUUUGGACAUAAGGAUCAGUAGCUUGUAGAUCUUUAAUCUUCUCCAACAAGGUGGGUUGAACCACCAAUGCCGCAAGUGUUGCUGGCAUUCCUGAAGCUACUACCUCAAGACCAAGUCGUUACAUCUCUUUUUGCAAUAAUGGUUGAGGUGUAAUUGCUGAAGCCAAGUUUUCUCACGAUUUUCUACUAAGUGCAUCGACCACGACAUUUGCCUUCCCGGUUGGUAUAAAAUAGUAACGUUGUAAUCCUUUAAUAGCUCUAACCACCGCCGUUGUCGCAUAUUUAACUCCUUUUGGGUGAACAAGUAUUUAAGGCUCUUGUGAUCCGUAUAGAUCUCACAAUGUUCACCGUACAAGUAAUGCCUCCAUAACUUUAGCGCGAAAAUAACCGCCGCUAGCUCAAGGUCAUGAAUCAGGUAGUUCUUUUCAUAAUUCUUCAAUUGGUGCGAAGCAUAAGCUAUAACUCGCCUAUUUUGCAUCAAGACACACCUGAGACCAACAUAGGAAGCAUCACUGUAUACCACAAUACUCUCCCCCGGCGUCGGUAAGGCAAGCACCUGGGUCGAUGUCAAUCUCUUCUUUAAUUCCUCGAAGCUCCGAUCGUAAUCAUCGCUCCAAACAUACUUAACUCCCUUGUGCGUGAGGCGCGUUAGUGGAGUGGUUAUUUUGGCAAACCCCCCCAUGAACCACCGAUAGUAACCCGCAAGUCCAAGAAAGCUACGGACCUCCGCAACACUUGUCGGGCGAGGCCAAUCUUUAAUUGCCUCUACUUUUUUCGGAUCCACCAAAAUGCCAUCACCCGAAAUCACGUGGCCUAGGAAAGUGACUUAUGAAAGCGAAAACUUGCACUUCUUUAAUUUUGCAUAUAGCUUCUAUUUUCGGAGUAUUUCCAACAUGGUCCUCAAAUGCUCCUCGUGUUCUUCCUCACUCCGUGAAUAAACUAACACGUCGUCAAUAAACACCACGACGCACCGGUCUAGCAACGGUCGAAUGACCCGAUUCAUCAAGUCUAUAAAUGCUGCCGGGGCAUUAGUAAGCCCAAACGGCAUAACCAUGAACUCAUAGUGGCCAUACCGCGUACGGUACGCCGUUUUGUGCACGUCCUGGGGCCGUAUCUUCAACUUAUGAUACCCCGACUGUAAGUCGAUCUUUGAGUACACCCUCGACCCUUGCAAUUGAUCGAACAAAUCAUCAAUCCUCGACAACGGGUACUUAUUUUUAAUUGUCACUUUAUUCAACUCGCUGUAAUCCACGCAGAGUCGUCACUUUAUUCAACUCGCGGUAAUCCACGCAGAGUCGAAAUGUGCAAUCCUUCUUCUUUCCAAAUAGCACCAAAGCUCCCCACGGUGACACGCUCGGCCUCACAAAGCUUUUAUCGAGCAAGUCUUGCAAUUGUGCCUUUAGCUCUCUUAGCUCUGUCGGAGCCAUUCUAUACGGAGCCUUCGAAAUUGGCGCCGCCCCGGGAAUCAAAUCAAUAACGAAUUUGAUCUCCCGGUCCGGUGGCAAUCCCGAUAACUCCGCCGAAAAUACAUCCGAAAACUCGCACGACAACUGAAUAUCACUAAGUUCCGGGUGCUCCUUUUGGGCUUCUACCAUUGUCACCAAAUAGGCUUCACAUCCACCCUUAAUCAUUUUUCUCGCCCUCGUCACCGAUACGGUCACCGCGAAGCGUGAGCUUUUACAUGCCUAAUAUACCAACUCUUCCUGAUUAGGCUCACGAAAUGUGAUCACCUUGCUUUUACAAUCUAUCACGGCAUAAUACUUGGAGAGCCAGUUGAUCCCUAAGAUUACAUCGAAUCCCUACAUUCGCUCUAGCACUAGUAGAUCUAUCAGCAUAAUCCAAUCACCGAUCUGUACUGGACAAGCCAAGCACUCAUCAUGAAUAUGAAACGAAUGCUCUGGAGCAUUUACCCACCAAUAAUCCUGAUUAUACGUGAUCUCCAUGCCAUGAGUUUUUGCAAAUGAUGCACCUAUGAACGAAUGUAAUGCACCUGUGUCGAAUAAAGCUCUAGCUCUAGUGCCUUUAAUCAAAAUUAUACCUGCCACGACAUCAUCUGGUGCUACAGGUUGCUCCUCCAUCUGAGUGGCAAAACCCGCCCACUCGGUGCUCUAGAUGUCUCCGGUUGACGCGAUGCAGAUGAGCGUCCAGCCGACAUCGCUGGGGGCAACCCCGCAAGCUAUCUCAGGGUGGAAGGAACUAAUGCCGCUGUCGGUGCAAACGAUCCCCAACUAGGGCACUCCUAGGCCAUAUGCCCCGGUUGAUCGCACUUGUAACACUUUCCUUCACGCUGCGGGCAGGUCGGCGGUCGAUGCUCACCGCCGCAAAUGAGUAGCGUGUGAGGUGGGUUAAUCAUCGGUUUGACUCCUAUGGGUUAUAUAGUCGACAUGUAUUCGGCACGUGUUUUUGCCUAUCGUAAUUGCUCUAUUCAUUGUUCAGCAUGAUUGAAAUAUGAAUUGGAGCUUAGUAUAUUGACUGUAGAUUCAUACAUAUUGGACUUGGAUAUAACAUAGGAGAAAACCAGUGAUUUGGACCUGUCACCUGCUUAACUACCGGAUUUAGCUUUAGGAGCCAUUGUUAUUUUGUAUCGCCGUAGUAUCAGCGUGGUAGAUACCCCAGAUAGUUUAGAUUACUAUUAUGCUCGUGAUGGGAUGCCAAGCCUAUUUUUACAGUAGUGUUUAGACUAUUCCGGAUUGUUGGAUGCUGUCGAGAUUGACGGUGGACCCAGAUUGCCAUUUUAGUAUCAGAUUAUGCUGAAGGCACGUGACUUGUUAGUUGGUAGACUAGUUGGACCCUGUGUACUUGACUAUAGCCUGCGAGAGCCUGAUUGAGCUCGACAGAGAUACGCUUGCAUACUCGGUUGGGUAGCGCCCAUGAGUGCCACUCCGGAGUCGGGCUUAGUGCUUCUGCGUUGAUGUCGAGGUGUCCUGUUUGGACUUGCUAUCCACUGACUGCUUAGUGUGGAGGUAGCUUUAGCUUCGACAGGAGAGACGGGCGUGUUCACAGUCCCUGGGACGGGUAUGAUUACAGUCCCGAGUGAGAUUGGGUCAGGUAUGACAUCUUCUACAGACUGUUAGUGUUAGAGCAUGAUAGUAUAGUGAUUUUUAGUUGUAGAGUUGUUCCAGCAUUAUUUAGUAUCCCACCUACCUUCUGUAGACUUAGUGGGUGGACCGAUGAUGUUGAGGGUGGCACCCACUAAGGACUACAUGUCUUUACAAUAGUUCUCACGCCCAGUUGCUAUUUGCUUUUGCAGAGCCUUCGGUUCCGGCUGCUGCAUCGUCCGAGAUAGAGCGUGGUAAGGGCGUUGCGAGUUAGAGCCCUACCAAACGAGCCGCCGAGUAGCACCAGCUACAGGUAGUUGUAGUUUUUGACUUCCUAUACAUACUGUUGUUGUAUCUCGCUUGGCGAGCUUUUGUUUACCGGAUGUUGUAUGUAUAGUGAACUUUAUUUUUCUAUCUGGUUAUACUUUGGCUAGCAGCUCUGUAGUGUUCCUGAGCUUUGGAUAGGAUUGGCUUCAAUAUUAGUGACUGGUCGACAUCUCUGGAGAGUGUCGAACUAAGUCGGAGUCAAUUCCGCACGAAUUGGAUGCAGAAUUGGACUCGACGCACUCAAUUAAGCAAAACUGGAGUUUUGCCAGUUUCGGGCGCCCAGAACAUUUUUAGGGUCGCCCAGAAACGAGUGUUGAAUUUAACUGAAACUGGAGGCCAAUUCGGAUCCCAUGUUCCGGGUGCCCAGAUGUGGGUCCGGAAAUUCGACAUCGUGAAUAUCGCUUGCUUCGAUGCGUGGCAGGCGGCAGGUGAGUUCCGCCGGAGCCAUUUACGGGCGCAGCACACCGUGAGCAGAGAGUCCGAGGAGCCCGUUUUGUGCAAGCUGGAUGUUCUGGUCGCCCAAAACAUGGUUCCGGGCGCCCAGAAACGCCCGUUUCUGCAGGGACACUGGAUAGCAGCUUCAGUUCCUGAGGCUUUUUGGAUCAUUCUAACUCACUAUAAAUACUUGGUAAACACCCCUUUGCUGCUCUUUUCCCCCCUUCUUCACAGAGAAGUCUCUUUUAGCAUCUCUACCCUCGGAUUUGCCUCAAAUUGCAUUAAACUUCCAUUGAUCCAGCUUGAUGGAGUGCUGAUUCUGUAGUUCUUCAGCGACGACCUCCAGUGUUUUGGCUCGUGCGCGAUGUAGGAAGGUCGGAUUUCGACGAAACUUGGUUUGCUGGAUUCUAGACUUCCAGAGGAAUCUACGAAGCCCUGAAUGGUAGAUUUUGGUUGAGGUUAGCUUGGUCGAACUGAGGUUUUUCUAGACUACUGUUGGCUUUGAGCUGAAAAUAGAAUUUUUGAGCUUUUCUUGAUGCUAUCUUUGUUGGCAGUGGAAUUUUGGACCUGAGUUUGAUCACCCCUCAGUAUUUGCUGAUUUUGGAACUGUUCUCACCUGAUUUGGAGAUCAUUAGGUGAGUUUUGACAUUGGAAUUGAGAAAUCCUAAGCUUAAGGCUAAAAUUGAUGAAUUUUAUUGGAUUUUGGAUGAAUUGUUAUAUCCAGAUCUUGAUGGGCUUUGUUGCUGGUUUGGAGGAGUUUCCAGCAGUGUUGCUUGUGAUCCGAGACCCUCUUGCUGCCAGGAGUUUCACUAGAGGUGGGUUAUCAUCGGUUUCGCUCCUAAGUGCAUGUUUAGUCGACGUGUAUAGUUCGAUUUUUGUAUAUCAUGCUUUAAUUCAUCGAUUAGCAUCUUGAAUGUAAUAUGAAUGUAGAAGCAUGCUGAAAUGAAUAUUUAUAUUAUACAUGUUGGACUUGAAAUUUGACUUAGGAGAAAACCUGCGUUUUGACCCGUCAUAUGUUUAAACUACCAGAUUUAGCUCUAGGAGCCGAGAUUCGAUUGUAUCGUUGCAGUAUUAGUGCGAUGGAUAUCUGGGGUAGUUUAGAAGGCAUUUACGCUCGUGCUGGGAUGCCGAGCUUAUUUUUCAGCAGAGUUUAGGCUGUUUCGGGUCGUUGGGUGCCGUUCGGGUUAGCGGUGGACCCAGAUUCUUGUUUUGGUCACAGAUUGUGCCGAGGGCACGUGGGUUUGGUUUGUAGGCCUGUUUUUACCCUGUUCACUUGACUUUGGCUAAUUGGAGCCUGUUUGAGCUCGACAUAGAUACGCUGCAUACUCGGUUGGGUAGCGCCCACGAGUGCCACUCCGGAGUUAGGCUUUGUGCUUUCGCGUUGGUGUCGCUCAUGCCGGUUGGACUUACUCUCCACGGACCAGUUAGUGUGGAUAGAGCUGGAUAGUCGCAACUCGGCAGGGACGGGUGUGUUCACAGUCCCAGGGACGGGUAUGUCUACAGUCCCGAUUGGAUUGGGUCAGAUUGGACAUUUCCUACAGUUGGUUAGUGUAGAGCAUGAUAGUGUAGUGUUUGAUAGCGGUAGAUUUUAUUCCUGCAUUUACUACUAUUCUUGCUCCCUUCUAUAGACUUAGUGAGUGGACCGAUGUUGUUUUGGGCGGUACCCACUGAGGACUACUUGUUUUUACAGUAGUUCUCACGCCCUGUUGUUACUUCAUUUUUGCAGAGCCAUCGUCUUCGGCUGCUGCUAUUGCUGAUAAGGAUCGAGGCAAGGGCGUCGCGAGUUAGAGCCCUACCCGACGAGCCGAGCUAGGGGUGCCCUACUACAGGUAGUAGUUUUGUUGGAGUUCAUGUACUUACCUACCUUUAACUCGCCAGUGCGAGUAGUUUUUGUGUAUCUUGGAUUUUGGGGUAUGUAUAUGGAACUCAGUUGGUUUUCUCCGUUUCUCCUAACCAGCUCUAUACUACUGUUUGUAGUAUUGUUUGAUUUACAGAUACAGCUAUCGCUUCGUAUACAGGAAAAAUUCCUUUGUAUACGGCGGAUUUGUCGGCGCGCCCGGGGAACGUGUAAUCCGGGGCGUGACAAGCUCUAUACUACUGGUUGUAGGAUUGUAUAUUUUACAGGUACAACUAUCGCUUUGUAUACAGGAGAAAUUUCUUUGUAUACGGCGGAUUUGUCGGCGUGCCCGGAAAAUGAGUAAUCCGGGGCGUGACAAUAUAUAUAUAUAGUAAAGGUACUAUGCUAUCGGAAGUAUAAAUUAGUUGGUACUUUCGAUUUUUUAGCCCUUGGAUCAAAAAUUAUACGGUUGGGAUGAUAGCAGUCCCCUUAGAGUUGAGUGGUCCCCCUAGGGUUGAGCGGUCCUCAUUGGUCAAUAAUAUUAAUCCAAUGGUUAGAAUAAUCAAUGGAGUUGAUCUAAGGGCUAAAAAAUCAGAAGCACCAACUAGUUUAUAUUUUCGAUAGCUUAGUAGCUCUUCUAUAUAUAAAUAUAUAUAUAUAUAGAGAGAGAGAGAGAGAGAGAGAGAGAGUUGAGCUAGAUCUCUAAAGCACAUGAAGGUAGGUGCUUUUGAAAGAGAUAUUUAGUUCAAUAAUAUAUAUAUUUAUUAUAUACUUAUACUUUAUAUAUAUAUAUAUAUAUAUAUACUAUAGUCGUCUCCGAUACUUUCGAACAAGUACGGGAGGCCCGGUGCUUGUAAGUUGUUUUCGAUGACUAGGACCGUUCCGAUUCGCACGAUCGCUCGUUAGGCUCAUGAUCUUCCUAUUGAGAACUAUCUAGAAUCAAUUUAGAUUUUUUUGACAGUAUUUACUAGCCGAUCAAAGAGUCUAAAAUGAUUUUACGGCGUGUGGAAUUUUUAAUGUGUCAACGGCUUGUUAGAGAGUAUCCAAUAUUACAUGAAUUUAAUAAAAAUUUACUUAAUCAAAGUAGCCGAUAUCAUUUCGAUGUAAAUUUGAAUCUUUUAUCACUUUUUUAUGAGAUUUGUUCAUUUUCUAGCGUUCAUUUUUGGUAACUGUUCCUAGACGCACAAACCGAAAUCAAAAAUAUAUGAAUUUGGUUUUCUAGUAGUUCGCUCCAUGGAUGUAAGUUUUAACAACUGAUCGCUGAAUCGAGAACUGUCCACAUUCAACAAGAUUAACAGAACGGGCCACAGCCCAUCCGCGUUACUUUCGACGCAUAGGAGCCUAGCUCUGUUAUUCUCUAUCUUUCUCUCUCUUAUAUUAUAUAUAUAUAUAUACUAGUUAUAGUCAUGUGCAAUGCCCGUCACAUUUAAUUAAAUUAAAGUUAUAUUUAUAUUUUAAAUUUAAAUAAUUAUUGAUAGUAUUAGUCUAUUUAUCAAUUAAUUUUUUUCUAACUUAAAUUUUUUUAAUUUGUAUCCAAAUUUAAAAAUUUGAAGUAAUUCUAAAUUUUAAAUUAAUGAAUUCAUAUUUAAAUUUAUGAACAAAACUCAAAAUUUGAAGUUAAUUUUGAGUCCAUAUUUGAAUAUAAAUGGUUAUAGAGACAUUGAUUUAUUUAACAUCCCAUCUAUUUUUCAAAUUUGAUAUAUUUUUAAGUUAAUUAAUUAUUUUCAAUUUGAAAUACUAUUUACACACCCAAAUAUUGAAAUUUGAAUUAAUUUCAAAUUUUGAAUAAUUUAAAAUUUAAAGUUGAUUUGAUAAACUUAUUUAAAUCAUUCUAUUUUUCAAACUUAAUUUUCUUUUAGUUAGUUAAUUGAGAGAUAGUGAAUACUAAAUAUUUUCAAUGUGAGUUGCGUAGAAUUUUUUUUUGAUGAGUAUGGAAUAUUUUUUUAUGGGGCACUUGUGAAAAAUAUUCAACAGUAGAUAUUUUUAGAUUGACAUAAAGUUGGAUAAGUAUGAAUUUUUUUUAUAUUCUCGUAAAUGAAAUGCAAUAUUUUUUCCUAUUAAAAAAAGGUCUGUCAACAGCUAUUUUAUUAAUAAUCCCAAAUCAAUAUAAAUUUGUGAAUCACAUUUAUUUACAAAUUUAAAAUUUUAAAUUAUAAAUUCUUAUAUUAUAUUUUAUUAAAAAAUAUCUCAUAUUUUAAAUAUUAGUAGAUAAAAUUUAGAUAAUUUUUAUAUAUUCACCUUUAAAAAAAUAUAAUUAAAUAUUAUAUAUGCGGAAGGUAUUAUGUGAUAGGAUAUUAUGUAGGCCGUAUUACGUGUGAGAAAGAAAAUAUUUAAAAAAUUCUUAAAUUGCAAAUAUUAUUUAUGAUAAAAAAUAGAUAUUACGUGGGCUACGGUUAUUAGAAGAUAAGGUGCGCAUAUAAAAUGUAAAAUUCAAUAUGCACUUUUUGAGGGCAAUUCAGAUAAAAAAAGUGACAGAUACUUAAAUCGUCAACUAUUGGAUUAAAUUCGAAGACUAAGAAUUAAUAUAUUUUAUGAUAAUUUAAAAAUAAAAUAUAAAUUGUACGGUUAUGAUUUAUUCUAUUAAACUUGAAUGAAUGAUAUUGCUAGUAUGCGAUUGGAAUUAUAUUAAUAGGGAGCGAUAUUUUGGGAAAGAAAAAAAUUUUAAAACUUGCUCUUUUAUAAGUAGUAUAUAUAUAUAUAAUAUUUACUAAGGAUCUAGGAUACUUUUACAAGCUAUCCAUCCCCAUCUUAUUGCUAUUCAACUUUUUAGCCAUUGGAGUCUACUUUUGUUUACAAAUAGCCCUUGGAUCAAACACUAUUCCACCUACCACCACCCUACCACCUACCUACCACCCAUCUAUCCAACCUUUCACAUCUUCUCCAUCCAAGGCUAAAAACACACAAGUACCACUGGCUGAUACUUGUAACAAGUAUUCUACCCUACUCAUAACUAUAUAUAUAUAUAUACUGCUCUAUAUAUAAUAUGACUACAUACUACGGUAUACUAUGAUAUAUAUAUAUAUAUCAUAUAUAUAUAUAUAUAUAUUAAUUACUAUAUUAUAGAUCACAGUGGGUUUAACGGAGCCCGAUCCGACGAUUUCGAAGUCGCAAGAUCGAAACGAGCCUGGAGCACGGAAGGCUCCAGUGCUUCCGAUCAUAUAUGGUCUCCGUGCUUCCGAUAAUAAUACUAGAUGUAGGUCUACUAUACCUUAUCGUAAGCACGGAGCCUUUCCGUGCGUUCCAGCUCGUUUCGCAUCUUGCGACUUUCCAAUCCGUCCGAUCGGCCUCCCUUACACACUUUGAUCUAGACGUAUUGAAGUACCCUACGAAAUAAAUUUACUGACUUUCUACGAUAUAUUUGCUUACGUGAACGCAAGGGCGCUCAAAAUCAACGGCUACAAAUAAAAAUCCUUACAUAAAAUGUAAUAUGAUGACACUUAAACAUUUUAACAAAGAGGGUCAUUGAUCUUCGUUCUAUACCUACUGUCAAAAAAUUUUUCUAUCAAAAUUUCACGCCGACUUCUGGAUAUCUUUUAACACCCGUUAAAACUUGCAAACGGCUCACCGCGCCAUGCUACAAUUUGUUGAUUUGAGUCCCAUUCGCAUCACUACGGCAAAUGAUCAAUCCGAAAGAAUAAUAAAUUUAUUUUCUAGUACUCCCAAACUACUCUAAAUCAAGCUUUAACGAGCCGAUCCCGACGAAUUCGAAAGUCGCAAGAUCGACAACCGAGCCGCGAAGCACGUAAGGCUCCGUCGCUUCCGAUUAGCAAUAGUAGCCUCACUCUAUACUAUAUACUAUUAUAUAUAUAUAUAUAUAUAUAGUAUUCUAGCCUAUCAAUCUCAACCCAUACCCGCUAGUGCUCGCGGAUUACACGCAAAUUUGCGGGUAUAGACACCAAUUUUUUCAACCUAAAAAAUUACAGAUAAAAAAUUAUGAAACUAUAUUCGUUUAGUGUCAAAUGAAUCCUCUACCAUUUUAGUAGCAAUAGGAAAUUAAUUUGAAAUACACACAAAUAUCCUCGAAGCCCCUAUGGUGGGCAAAACCCAAGCUUUGCUCGACGCGGUACUCAACCACCACCCACCCUCCUUCCCUCUCCUUUUUCCCCGAGUCCAACAAACGUUUUAAAUGUCCCAAUCAAUUCAUCUCUCUCUCUCUCUCCCUCCAUUACCCCGUCCCACCUCUCAUUUCUCCGCUCCAAAAGUUAAUCAUACUCCACACACCUCCAAAAUAAGAACCAUCCACCUCCUACCCCCUUAAUUCCCCUAUAUUUUUAAAGUUCGUCAAGAACCAUCCACCUCCUACCCCCUUAAUUCCCCUAUAUUUUUAAAGUUCGUCUCUCUCUCUCUCUCUCUCUCUCUCUCUCUCUCUCUCUCACUCUAAUUACUUCUUGCGUUAUAAUACGUUAUGCUUGAGUGAGACUAACUCUUUCUUGGCUCCCAUCUUGCUCUCUCCUUUCUCUUUGUGGACUCUUGUACGUAGUGGUUGUGAGCUCCCCCACCAAACAAGCCAAAUAAUCCCGAUCGAGAAGGCACCCAACUCACUACGUACCUCCUCUUCACUUGGGAAGAAGAAAGAGGGGGAGGGGGAGGGGGAGGGAGAGGAGACGGAUCAAGGUGGAAAUGGGCGGCGAGAGGAAGAAUUCGCUUCUUACUCUCGCCGGGCGGGUGCUGAAUUGUGCGGUGAGCUUUGUCGUGUUCUCCGUACUCGACGUUCUCGAUAUAAUCCUCUGCAUUGUCUACAAGCUCAUCGAUUAUGCCGUUGAGGCCGAGUGGAAGCCGUGCUACUGCUCGGCCUCCAAGGACAUGGUUGCCGGCAGCGGCAGCGGCAGCGGAGGCGGGCCAAAGGUGGUGCGGCUCUGCUCGUCGAAGCUCCAGCUGGAGGACGUCUCCGACACGCUGUACGCGCGUCCUUCAGUCGUCAUGGACGCUGCGAGGAAGGCGGGAACCACCGGCAGCGGCGCAUCAGUUGUCGUGAGCCCGGCACCGGCUGCGCCGACGUUCCGGGUCAGCACUGGUGUUGCGGAGAUGAUCCGAGGGAAGAUCGACCGGCAGCGGCCUACGCGGCCGGUGCCCUGCUGGUCCGACUGCUGCUGUAAGAUCUGCAAUUCGUGGAGCACCGCCGCGACCCCUUCCCAGCUUUACGUUCACGUGGAGGGCCCAAGAGGUAAAUGCUGCAUGCCCGAUCGAGUUAGGAUCCGGCCGGUAAAACGCAAACGGUAGUGUAAAUUUUAAAAACCUUACUUUUACCAACUAUAUAUAUAGUCGAUCGGUUUAGAAAUGAAAAAAAAUGCAUAUUGGUACGUAGUUAAUGAUCAAUGAAUUUGUGAUAUAUAUAUAUAUAUAUAUAUAUAUAUAUAUAUUGAAUCGAGAAAUGUGCACGCACAGUAUUGUCAUGCAUCUUUUUAAGUUUUUAAACACGUACUACUAGUCUGUAUAAUUUAAUAUAUUUAUCAAAAAAGAUUAUUGUUCUCAUUUUUAUCGGGCGAAAUAGCUAGUAGAUAAUAAUUUUUAAAAACAUUUUUAAAAGUGAAAAAUUUUAAUUAUUUUUUAAUUUCAUUUCUUAUUGCGAGAUGUAGUAUUUUGGAUGAAAAAAUCAAGCGUCUUAUCUAAAAGUUUACCAGGAGGUCGAACACGGGCAGCGUGCGUAAUGCAUGUGCUUAAUCCAACUAAACUAAAUGACGUCAAUGUUAUACGUACGUACAUUUUAAUUUGAAGAUUAUGUCGUCAUUAAAAUAUUUAUUUGGUGUUCCGGAGGGAAUAUAUAUAUAUAUAUAUAUAUAUAUAUAUGCUACAGAAAUUUUGCUCAUUAAUUAAUUUGCACAGAUGGUACGCAAUCUCGUAAUAUUAUUAUUUUGCGACUAUUAAUUAAAAUUGCCGAUCGACUGAUGAGUGGGCGUGCAUUAACGAAAUUGAGCAGACGGGGCGGCGGUGCCGGCGACGGAGGACGUGGUGUUCAUCCACGGAUUCAUCUCGUCGUCGACGUUCUGGACGGAGACGGUGUUUCCGGCAUUCAGCGAGCUGACAAAGUCGAGGUACCGCCUCUUCGCGAUCGACCUGCUGGGGUUCGGGCGCAGCCCGAAGCCGACGGACUCGCUGUACACUCUGCGGGAGCACCUGGAGAUGAUCGAGAAGUCGGUGCUGAAGCGGUUCGAGAUCGGGAGAUUCCACCUGGUGGCGCACUCGCUGGGGUCGAUCCUGGCCCUGGCGCUGGCGGUGAAGCACCCGGAGGCGGUGCGGUCGCUGACGCUGGUGGCGCCGCCCUACUUCCCGGUGCCCAAGGGGGAGGAGAGGGCGGCCGGGCAGUAUGUGAUGCGGCAGGUGGCGCCGCGGAGGGUGUGGCCGGCCAUCGCGUUCGGGGCGUCGAUGGCGUGCUGGUACGAGCACGUCAGCAGGACCAUCUGCCUGACCAUCUGCAAGCACCACCGCCUGUGGGAUCUGCUCUUCCGACUGCUCACCCGCAACAGGUAUGUAUGUGUGCUCUCAGCCAAUUACACACACCUAGCUAGCACUUAAUUAGCACUUGCCUUGCCUAAUUCCCUUUCCCUUUCCCUUUCCGUUUCCGUUUCCCUUCCUCUAGCUGUGCGUUGUGUUUGCUCUUUCUUCCGUCUCCAACCGUUUCGGUGGCUCCGCUUUUAUUAUUCUCGCCUCGUAUUUAUUCCUUCCCACGUUAUUGGCUUCUCACCCUCUAUUUUGCGCUCCACGUGCCCGGUCCCACAUAAAUAACAACCUGUUUAAUUCGUCCAACACUAGUGCUGCAGGUACACACAAUAUCGACGGAAGAAAAAUGCUACUAGCUAGCUAGCUAUAUAAGGUUAGAAUCAAAUCAAAUCAAAUCAAAUCAAAUCAAAUCAAAUUCGCAUGGUUGGAUUAAUGUGAUCCCUCUUAUUAAUUAAUAUUUAUUUAUUUUAUUUAUUUAUUUAUCACCUCUUUAAAUAUAAAAAUAUAAUAUAAUUAAAUUCAGCAAUACAACAAUUAACGACGUUUUAAUUAAGAGAGAUAUUGCGGAAAAAUCCAAAGCAUUUUUUCCUUUGUCUCGACGAAUAUUAAUUUAUAUAGAAGAUUCCAAAAUAUUAUUUUUCUAAACUGUUGAUGGGCAAGUUGAGAUGCAUGGUAUAUAAGAUUUUGUUUAAUGUAUACAUGCAAUUUUAAUAUAUAUGCUGUAUAUAUAUAUAUAUAUAUAUAUAUAUAUAUAUAUGAUGUUAGCAGAUAUAUAGCAAUGCGGCAAUAUAUAUAUAUGGUUCCCUUUUCCUGAUUCAAAAGUUAAACGGUGAUAUAUCGAUUGCAUGUCGCUAAUUAAAAACUAGCUAGCUAGCUAGUAUAAUAUAGUUAGUUUAAAUCACCGGCCGAUCGAAUUAGUAAAAUUUUGAAUCAUGUACAUUUUAAGCACCUGUCGACUUUGGCUUUAACAAUCAUCGUAUGAUAUGAUUUUUUGUAGUUAUUGCCAAAUCGAUCAUACUUGUGAGCCGCCCGCUCCGUUUGAAUUAAAUGGUAGACAGCACCAAAUAAUUAAGAAGUUAUUGGAAUUCAUUUGAUAUUUUAUUCUCUCACCCACACAGUAGCAAAUUCGGUUUUCCCCGUGGGGCCACUGAGUAUAUAUAAGGUCUGCUUUAUCUGUUUUGCCUCUGGUUUCAAUGGCAACAAUAAUUACCGUGCUUGAUAAAAAAUAAUUAAAAAUUCUGCUGUAGACAGAAAAUUUUGAGCCUCCAAACAAGAAAUUCCGACUGAUACUUUCGAUUAUAUAUACGCGACACUAACUGAAUGUAAUAGUUAUAUGUAUAUAUUAUUAUAUAUAUAUAUAUAUAUAUAUAUAUAUAUAUAUAUAUAUAUAUAUAUGAAAUAUAAUAGGAAUAAAUCUUUUAAUCAGGUUAUAGCAUUUUAGGUGAUUGUUACGCCCAAAUGGUUAAGAAAAAUUAAACGUGCUAGGGUUAGAAUAAUCAUAGAAUGUGUGACGCCCUAGAAAAUGGGGUAUUACAGUGGGUAUUAGAGCCAAUUACCAGCCGAAAAUAUUAGAUAAAUGUCGGCUGAGCCAAAAUUAUAUAGCGAGCUCAUCGGCAGAUCAUAGUUGUGGGUGGAGCACGACUCCCCACAAGGUCAAACGAGACCCCACAAGGUCAAAUGAGAUGAGUCUCAAAUCGCCUAUUGCUUGUGAAUAUGUUUAAGCCUAUCGAGAACGUCGAUAUAAUAGCACUGAAAUAGUUUUAUAUAUGAGAUAUAAUAAAAUAAGAUCAUUUUACCCGAAUAUAGCAUUUUAGGAGUGGCUAGCUAGGUUAAUUUAAGAGAUUAGGAGAUUUAAGCAUGCUAGGACUAAAUGGGCGACUCAUUGGAAAGUGGGGCAUAAUAGUUGAGGAUUGUGGAUCUAAAGUUUCAAUUUUGUUUGUGUCCAAAAGUUAUAAUUUUUUUCCUUAGAAUUUAUUUUAUUUUAUUUUUUGAGUUUUAAUAUUAAAGAAUAUUUUGGAUGAAGUUAAAAUUAAUAUGUGAUAACAGAUCAAGAACUUUGUAGCAAGAAACAGUUGGAAAGUUCCCUAUUAAAAUUUUAUUAAUUAGUUUUUUAGUUUCCCCCGCCCUUAUUUUGAACGGCAGCUUACGAGCUGUCAGAGCCGCGAAGAAAUCGAUGGCCUGACAUAUAUGGUAGGAGUACGUUACGUUUACUUUGCGUAACGACCUCUGAGGUCCUGCCGUGGGAGUGCGGGACGUCGGGUACGAAAUGCGGGAAACAGCUUCGGGUUUCGUACCACCGCGAUCGAGUAGGAAAACCAAGUCAAAUUUUCCACAUAUAUAUCAGGUAGGUUAAUUUCUAAUUGGGAGACGUUAGAUCGAGGAAAAAUUCUAGAAUGCAACGGGUAUAUUAGUGACGUGGCGUAACAAACCAAUCAAAUUAAUUCUUUUAAAAAUAUAUGUCCCAUCAUGAUUGUAAAAAAGUAUUUUUAUUGUAUUUUUGUUUGAAAAGAAGGAAUGUGAUUGGCUUGUUAUUGAUGACGUGGUGCAAGUGUGACAGUGUAGAAUUCCUCUAGAUCGAGACACGUAAAAAUAAGUAAUAACCGAAAGUAAUGUCAGUGGAAACAUAUAUAUAUAUAUAUAUAUGUAUAUAUAUAUAUAUACACAUAUAUAUAUAUAUACAUAUAUAUAUAUAUAUAUAUAUAUAUAUGAUAUAUAUAUAUAAUAUAGAGUGGGCAUAUAUAUUAUAUAUAGAGUGAAGUGAGGCUACUAUGCUAUCAGAAGUCGGAGCCUUCCGUGCUUCCAGCUAGUUUUUGAUCGUUGCACUUCGAAUUGUCGAUCGGUCUCCGUUAAACUUGAAUUCUAUGAGUAUUUGGGAGUACCUACAAUAAUGCGAUAUGGUGCGUUUGCUUCGUUUAACGGAUAGAAGAGCUUCAAAUCAACUAAAAUUUUUUGUUUAAAAAAUCUUUUUAAACUUUUAAAAUAAAAACGAUCUAGACUCUAGAUCCAAAUAUAAAAAAUUGUAUUAUCACUUUUUUCAAGGAUAGUUAUUUCCAGCCAUUUAUUUUUCUGUUUCACUUGAUGGACAGAGAACAAUAUCUGAAAAUGUGUGUUGAAAUUUGGAUUUCCAGGAUAGUUUAAGUAGUUUUAUGAUCUGUGUUGUAACAGUGCCGAUCAUCAAUUUGGAAGCCCUAUAUCAAAACAAAUCGGUAGCUAACGGCUCGUUUUACUACGAUAGUUAUUCUAGCAAAACCCUAUAUUAUAUAGUAUAUAUAUAUAUAUAGAUGAGAGGAGAGAGAGAGAGAGAUGAGGAGAGGAGACGAUGAGAGAGAGAGAGAGAGAACGAGAGAGAGAGAGAGAGGGAUGGAGGAGGGGAGGGGAAGUUGAGCUGGGAAUACUAUCGGUAGCAAACGCGGCUCCGUGCACCAUUUGUUUUCGAUGAUGGGAGCCUCCAAAUCGACGAUUAGUGCCGUUAAAAAUGCAUCAGUAUUACACUUGAUAUGGUAUUCUGAGAAUCAAAUUUCAUGCUUUUCCGAAUAUUUUCUCUUGUUCACUCAAGUGGGCGGUAUAAUGAGAUGGCUAAAAAUGAAUAUCAUCUACAAAAGUGAUGAUAGGAAUUGUUCUAAUCAAGGAUCGAGGUAGUGAGAUCUUGUUCUAAAUAGUUUAAAGAAUUUUAAAAUAACGAAAAUAUUCAAUUGAUUGGAUAGGUUACACGUAAACGAGAAAACCCUAUAUUUGACCAUUAAAAUUUACAAAUUUUUGAAACCCUUUGAAUCUAUUAGGUCAGAUGGAUGCGUCGGAGAAAGAUUUUGAAAUUAAUUUCGAGAUACUUCAAAGUGGUAUAGAUCAUGAUUCAACCGCCAGGGCUUACCGAUUAUCGAUUUGGAGGAUCUAAUCAGCUGAAAUUUAAAUGGAUGGCACAGGGGAGCCGUUGCUAUCGAUAGAUUCUACCUCAAACUUCUAUAUAUAUAUAUAAAUAUUAUAUAUUAGUCCGGCUAGGGGGGAUACUAUCGGGGAUAGCGCACAAGGAUUUGGUCAUCAAGUUGUUCUGCCGUUUCUUACAUUUACCUUUUUAUCAUUUUAUCCAUUGAUUAUACUAUUCAACGCAACACCCAUCAACAUAGAAGGACCCCAUCCAUCCUAACUAUACAUUUUUUAAUCCAAAAGGACAGCCAAAACUUAAUGUACCAGAUAUGGUACUAUUAAUAGUAUUCCAGCUAGUUAUUAUAUAUAUAUAUAUAUAUAUAUAUAUAUAUAUUAAUAUUAUAUAUAUAUAUAUAUAUAUAUAUAUAUAUAUAUAUAGGCUUGACGCUAGGAAUACUCUCAGAUAGUAAAAUGAUUGCAUAUUUACUAUCGAGUUGUUUUCGAUCAUAGAGCUUCCAAAUUGACGAUCGGCUCCGUUGAACAUGAUCUAUACCACUUGAAGUGUUUAGAAAUCAAAUUUCAAAUCUUUUCGACAUCAUUUGCCUAAUGAUCAAAGCGUUUCAAAAUUUGUAAUUUUAAUGGUGGAUAAGAAACGUUUUCUCGUUUAAUGGUGUAAAGAUAUCCAAAUCAAUUGAAUUUUUGUUAGAAAAUUCUUUAAACUAUUUAAAACAAGAUCUAUACUCUUGAUCUUGAUUACAAGACUCCUAUCAUCAUUUUUUAAAGAAUAUUCAUUUUCAACCAUUCAUUUUCUGUUCACUAGAUGGAUAAAAGAACAAUGUCGAAAGUGCGUGAAAUUUAAUUUCUCGAUAGUUUAAAUGGUUUAGAUCAUAUUUAACGGAGCCGAUCGUCAAUUUGGAAGCUCUAUCAUCGAAAACAACUCGAUAGUAAAACGCUCCGUUUACUAUCGAGAGUAUUCUAGCUCAACUCUAUAUAUAUAUAUAUAUAUAUAUAUAUAUAUAGAUAUAUAUAUAUGCUCACUCAUGAUUAAAUAUUAAAAUAAUCUUUUGAAUAUUUAGACAGUACUGGUUUAUGCCGCUUCGUUAAUUAGGUGCUAGGUGAUCUUUUCUUUUCUUUUCUUAUCUUUUUUUUGAGAAAAAUCUCUUUAUGAAUUACCAAGAUAUAUAAUUGUGCCAAAAUAUUAGUCGAUUUUGUAUUGCACUAAAGUGACGUACAAGGGUUCAAUUACACCAAUCUCCUAAGGCUCUAUUCGAAAGUGGGUUAUUCGGUAUAAAUAUUUUCUUAUGUGAUUGUAAGAAAGAAAUUUAAUUUCUGCUCCUUGAAAGAUUUUAAUAUCUAUGAUUUGGUAGGAUAACGUAUUUCACUUAUGAGAUAUUUAUCUUAUCCGAAAAAAUAAUUUAAAGGCUGAAUAUAAUAUUUAAUUUUAGACAUUUGAUCAUGCUCCUUAUCUACCAAACAUACAAACUUUUUAAAUAAAUUAUGAAGAUAUACUAAAUAAGAUAUUCGUACAUCCAAAUAAUGCCUAACUGUAUGAAUCUCGCCAAUAGUCCUAUUUACUUCUAAGUAAUAUUAGUAGGCAUAGUAGUACUAUGGGCAUGUUUUAUUUCGGGAUAAAGAGCGAGCAAUUAACUAAAGUUAUCCCCUACUAUUCCAUCACACCUUUUAAAGGAAAAAGAAAAAAAACUGAAUAGUUAUUCUGAUUAAACCAUGGUAUUCUAAAUAAUCCAAAAAUAAUCUCAAAAUAAAUUCUCCACAUUUCCAAUGGUAUAGGGCUAUUCUUAAUUAUGAUCGUCUUAGAUUAUUUCGGACAAUUCAAGUAAGAAAAAUGUAUGCCUAUAUCGUAUAUUACAUAUAUAUUUAAGUAUAUUAAUUAUAGAGAUAAUUUAAUGAAUGUUCCGUUACUAUAAUAUCGUUAUACUCUCCUAAAUUUAAUAUUAUUAUAGUGUCCGGCUACUAUGCUAUCGGUAGCACGGAGCGCUUCGUACUAUCAAGUUGUUUUUGAUGAUACGGCUUCCAAAUCGACGGUCGGCUCCGUUAGACUGAUCUACACUAUUGAAAGUAUUUGAAAACUAAAUUUUCGAUUUUUUCGACAUUAUUUGACUAGUGAUCAAAAGAUCUCAAAAUUGACAAUUUUAAUGGUCGAUGUGGUAUGUUUGUGAGUUUAACGGUGUAAAACAAUCCAAAUGCUAUGAAAAUUUUAUAGAAAAUUCUUUCCACUAUUUAGAGUAAGAUCAGUAUAUCUGAUCUUGAAUUUAAAUCUUUUAUCAUCGUUUUUCAUGAGAUUUUUAUUUUUAGCCGUUCAAUUGUAGACUACUUGAUUGAUAGGUAAAUGAUAUCGAAAAAUUAUGAAAUUUAGUUUCUAAAUACUUUCAAUAGUGUAGAUCAAGUCUAACUGAGCCGAUUGUCGAUUUGGAAGCCGCAUCAUCGAAAACAACUUGGUAGCACGGAGCGCCGUGCUACCGAUAGUAUAGCAGCCUAGUUCUAUUAUUAUAUAUUCCUAUUAAAUGGUCAUGAAUAUCAUGAAUAUUUUCCUAAUAGUUAGUCUCUAUCCAAAAAUACCCUUCAUAAUUUUAAAAUGCCAAGUUUACUCUUUAUCCAUUAUUUAUUUAUGCUCCUUAAAUUUUCUAUCUGUUGAUAUUCAAAACGUUUCAAAAUUACUCUCAAAAUUUUUUGCCGAUAAUUUUCACCAUCAUGUAUAAAUCACACCGAUAAUUUAAAUUUGAAUAUAAAAUUUAAAUUUAAAAUUCAAGAUCUAAGUUUAAAUUUUGAAUUUGAAUUUAAAAUUUCAAGUCUAUUGUGAAUAUAAAUUCUAAUUUGAAAUUCAAAUUCAAAAUAUGUUCAUAUUUUGAAUCUGAAUUUCAAACGGAAAGUUUGAAAUUAAAUCUAAAACUAAUUCAAAAUCUAGAUUUGGAAGUAAAAUUAAGGACACAAUCUCUAUUUGAAUUCAAAAUUGAAAUUGAAUUUAAAUUCAAAUCUAGAAUUAUAAUUUAAAUUUAAAAUUUGAAAAAAUUAGGUUUAAAAUUGAAAUUCAAUUCAAAUCUAGAUUUUCACUUUAGAGAAUCUAAGAUUAAAAUUUAAACUAAAGUUUGAAUUAAAAAACUAACUAUAACUUUUGAGACUAUUUAAGGAUAAAAUUUAUAUUUUAAAACUUAAUUAGCAUUAAUUAAAUUAGUCUCAAACUAAGGUUAGGGUAACACUCCAUAGUGUGAGAUAAUGAGGGACGAUUAUAUUGGAAGGUUAUAUGUGAUAUUGUAACACCGUGUGAUGUAAUGUAUACUAUAACAAAUUGUAUUAUAAUAAAAAGAACAAUAAUCUAAUUAUCAUUAUCAUUACUACUGCUACCACACACCACCACCAUUGUAUUAUUAUUACAUGAUUCUACAAAAAAAAAAUAGCAUUUAUGUUGUAAGAUAUAAUGAUAUGUUACAAUUUAUCUUCAACUGUUUACUAACUACAUAUAUAUUUUUCUAUUAGCCCCCACUAUCCUGGAGGUAAAUACUAAAUACAAUUUAAUUAUACGUAGGAAUAAAUAAAAUUGAAAUACACAUAAUUUUACACGUAUUUCUAUCUAUUAUCGUAGAAUAAUUAAGUUUCUCAAAUAACAAUAUUUCUUAGGAAAUUGUCUUAAAACCAAACAUAGUCUAUAGGAAUAAUGUGAACUGUGAAUAAGAAUCUUAAGGAUCUAUAUAUGGAACCAUUCUUACACAUAUAUUCCUCAAAAUUUAAUAUUAAUUUUAUUGCUAAACUGCUAUUUUUGUAAGUUAAUUACUACUAGAUCUACAAUCCAAACUGGAUUGCAAUAGUACAGUACCCUUAUUUAAAGAUCAAAUUAAUUUUCUCUACUAACCCUAGCCCCUGUGUGGAUCAUUGUUCUCUUCAUUGGGAUUUUAGACAGUGAAAAUGAAUUUCCUUUCUUUCGCAAUUCGCAUCGCAUAGAAAUUAAGCAGUAGGAAACUCAUUUUACACUGAUUAAUUAGCCUCGCGGCCCGUGAAAUUUCUCUAUAUAUGGGUUUACGUAGUGGAGUUUUUUUUUUUUUUUUUUUUUUUUUUUGAGAGAUAGGUACGUAGCACGCUACCCGCUUCGUUUAUUUCAUUUAGAAAUAAACUUAGCUAGAAAUGUGAAUCAACUAGAAUUCGAAGUUGGGUCUCGGAUACCAACCACUAAACUCUUUGCCACUUGCUCUAUAUAUGGGUUUACGUAGUGGAGUUAAUUUGAUGAACUAUUUAUUAAUGUGCUGUACAUGGUACAAAAUUAGUUGCAAUCAAUUCUGGUACCAUAUACAACAAAUUAAAAGUUACCUACCUCUUUUAACGAUUGUUGACAAGUUACUUAAUUAGCGUCUUCGAGUCCAGUGAGGAACUUAAAACUAAUUAUAAGAAUGAGUAAACUUUAAGGAAACUAAUUUUUCAUCGUUUACUUGUUUGUAUAACCUAUAUAUAUACAUAGAAUUGCCCAAACUAUAGAAUAACUAAUUAAUUGCUUAGAAGCUAGCUAGCUAUAUGUUGACGAUCUCUUCACCUAACCGAAUAGUAGUGUAGACCCAAAAUAUGUGAUUAAUUUUACGUACAUAAGCAAACUGAAGAGUGUGGGCAUGAAAGAAGACCGGAAGAAACUAAAUAUUACUACGCAAGGUGAUCGAUCGGGGAGAGCUAUAGCUAGCUAGGUGUGAAACUGCAGGGUGGGUUUAUCAUGAAUUUGCAAUUAAUUAAAUCUUGAGCAAUGCUCAUAUAUAUUCUAAGCACACGUACAAGAAAAAAAAAAAGAAAAGGAGAAGAAAUAAAAAAAAAAAAGAGCAAACGUACGGUAGGAGUAAAAUCUUAAAUCUUACUUAUUUAAGGGCCGGGUCAAUAUUUUUUCACUAGUUUUAUUAUCAUUUUUUAAAUAUUAUAAAUUUAAAAUGCGUGUCCUAGUUAAUUUUUAUGUGGACGAGCGCAUAAACUUAAUGGUGCUCUCCUUCCUUUGGGAUGUACGUAUAAUAUUUCUCUUAAAUUUUAGACCUCUAGCUUUGUAGCUAGCAGGCUGUUGAAAAAAAAAAAAAGAAAAAAAAAAAGAGGUUAGAGAAAAACCCCACCCACAGCUAGCCCACAUAGGUAGAUAAAUUAAAACAGAAACAAUGGUAAUUAAUGAGGGAGGUGAAAAGCAAGGGACUUGCUAAAAAAUUGGCCCAACAUAUGGUAAUGAGUAGUAUUAUUAAUUAGUACAUCCACUUCUACGGAGCCCGUUAAAUUGAGCAAGUACGGCUGAAUUCUGACGCUCAAGGUGAAAAUGGUUGUACAUUUAUCUAUUAAUAUUAACGCAUCUCUCACCGUCAAAACCUUUUCUGUCAAUAAUACAAUAGAUAUAGUUAGUUCCUGUUUUAUACAUAUAUAUAUAUAUAUGGAUCAGUACCUAAUCUAUAGGCUUAUACUAAUUUUAGGGUAUGUUCCGUUCGCCCUUCUUUCAUUCUGGAAUCGGAACGAACAAAUUCGUUUGUCCGUGUUUAGUAUGCGAAAUUUUCAUUCCGAUUUUGAUUUUCGGAUGAAUGAAAAUCUCCCAAAUUACCCUUUUUUUAAUCCGGUCUAGAAGGCCGGAUUGAAAAUUGAAUCGUGGCGGAAUGAAUUUGUUAGGAUUAAAUUUACCCUUUUUAAACUUAUUUUUUUAAUUAAAACAUACAUAAUUUUAAGUUUAAAAUUUAUAUUUACAAAUUUUAAUUUUAACUUAAAUUAAAAAUUAAAAUUCAAUCAACCAUUUCGAAUUUAAUUUAUAAAAUUUAAUUUGAAUCCUAAAGUUUUAUUCAAUUUUUAUUCAAAAUUUAAAUUAAAUUCAUGGAUUCAAAUUGAAAUUUAAAUUAUAAUGUUAAGUUUGAAUUUGAAUAUUUCAAAAUUUAGUUUUAUAUUUUGAAUUCUCCGUUCAGUUUUCAAUUUUAAUUUUUUAAAAAAAAUAUAUUUAAAAUUUUGACAUCAUUUUAAAAUUUUUACAUAAAAUUUUAAUACUUAAUUUUCAGUUUGAAUUUACACUGAUAUAUUAUAAAAAUAAAAUUGAUAUAUUAAUUUAAUUAUGUUUCUGAUAUCUAUCCGAAUCAAGCACCAGCAAUGAUUUAUUCCGAUUCCGAUUCAGACGGCGAUCCAAACAGAAUGAGAUAGUGACUCAUUCCGAUUCCGUCUCCAGCUUAUUUUCCCUCCGACUUCGAUACCGAUUCCGACUUCGAACCAAAUACACCCUUAGAGAAAGAAGUCUAUGUACCGGAGUCAAAUUCACAACUACUGCAGUGGAAAGAUUAGAUUGCCGGCACUAUAGUAAUAUUAAAUAAAAAUAGUAGAUUAAUGGUAUUUUUGUAAUAGUAAAUAAAAAUAGCAGAUAAUAGCUAGGAGUAAACAAAAAAUAUUGUUGUUGUUAAUAAGGGAGGCAAAAGACAACCCAAGUUAAUUAGUUGGCCCAUGCACCAAUCCGAAAGAUAAUCAGAUCUAGACAAACAUGCAUUUUGUCUGAAAAAUUGGGUUCUCAUAAUUCACUUUGUACUGAUUAAAAUUCUCUGUUUGGAUUCGGAUAUAAAAAUUCAGACAAACUGGGCCAAUGGUCCGAGUUUGGACUAACAGCUUAAAUAAUAAACUACCUUGAAUUAUAUUAAACUACUGCUUAGUUAUUUCAAGAGAUAUAUGAAUUAAGUAUCUCUAAGAUUAUAAUAUUAAUUAAAUCUAGCUACUACAAUCCUUAAUUUGUAUUUUUUUUUUCUUUUGCAUGUGAAAUGAUUUUAAUCAAAUAAAAAUCGUUAAAAAAAUUAAAUUAAAUUUUUUCCUAAUUCAAUUUGAGAAUUAUCUAAUAAAAGAUAUAAAUAUCGAUCGAGUUGCUGAUCUUUAUGGCGUUGUUUGACUUUAUUUAGAUUUGAAACUAUUUGACUUCAUUGUGGUAUAAGUAAAUAUGAGAAUUUGUGGUUUAUUAAUUUCUAAUUUUAAAAAAAAAAUUGUCAAAAUGGGCGCAAAAUUAGAAAAAAAAAAAUUACAAUAUAAUUUUAUUUGAUUUUUUUUUCAAAAAAUCAAUUUAUAAUAAUUUCAAUUCUAAUGAAAUAAAAUAAAUAUAUAAACUUUAAAUCAAAAUUAUAAAAGCAUUUAAAGUACGUACAAAAGUAUUUUUAAAAUGCAAAAUAUCGGGUUAUUAUUGAAAAAAAAAAAGAAGUGACAGAACUAUAAAAUAAUUCACUCUUCUAUAUACAGUAUAGAUAUUAUUAUUAUUAUUAUUAUUAUUAUAGAUACUAAUAAUAAUAGGUAUCGAUGGAUGGAUGGAUGGAUAGAUGGAUGGAUAUACGUACGUGGCAUGCAUAUAUACAAGUGGGUCCAGAUCCGGUUUUAAACUGGGUCUGAUCAUUAAUUUGAAUAUAUAUAUAUAUAUAUAUAUAGUGUAUAUAGUGUAUGCGCUAGCUAGCUGUGUGAAAAUUUUUUAUUAUCCCUAGCUAGCUAGUAAUUAUCGGACCCCGGCCGGCUUGAUGGGUACGUGGGUCGGUAGGUGAAUUUUUAUUCUUGCACACAAAUUAAUUUUAAGUGUUGAGGUGCCGCGCGGCCAUUAAUUAGCGACGAAUCAUUAAUCCACGAGUGUCGUAAUCAAUGAACAGCAUGCAUGUAGCUAGCUAGGCACGAGCAUAAUUAAUUUGGAGGGUGGAGAUAGUUAUGUAUGCUGCCUACCUGGAUGUGAUGAAUUUGAUUUAUGACAGCUAAGUUCGUUAGGACGGUGGUGGAUCCGCUCGCGAGUAAUUGCACGCGAAUUAACACCUCCCACGACCCAUUUUUUCACCGAAUCGGCCGUUUCGAUCGCGUGCGUCCAUCGAAAACCUAAUUUCUUUCUGAUUCUAUUAAUUGUUCAUAUAUAAGAGACAUCUAUCUUUAUACAAGGGAGAGAUCGGAUAAUUAAUUCGGUACAUGGUAUAUAUAUACAUGGAGACAUCUCUAUAUAGUAUACAAUUAUUAUACGACGAAAUUUCUUUUCUCCGAUCGAUAAUAGUGAAGAUGUAAAUGAAAAUAUUUAUUUAUAUAUGUUGACGCUCCCGCAAACUCAAGACGGGUCAAGCACCACAAGAGUUUGGGCAAAAAGUACUAAUUUCUUUGAAUAGUGUAAGAUUUGGACAAAUGUACUGAGAUUUGGUGAAAAAAUCGGUAAGCUGUUGAACGGACGAAGCAAAUGGUAAUGCUAUCGUGCCAUUAGUAUAAUAACGGCGAAUGAAAUUGCGACUCAUUUUGAUAUGGUUGGUGGGUUCGUGAAAGACAUGUUAUCCGCAAUUUUAAUCGCACUUUGAUUAUCACAAUAUGGUUGUGUUGGAGCAGAGUAGAGGGCACCGAGGUCAUCAAAGAACUAUCCAAGCCAUAUAAUUUCAGAGGUUGCAGAGGGUGCCAGGUGCAAGGAGAACUAAUGACCAGAUACUAGCACGAUGAAGGGCAACAAGUUCCGUAGUCAUCGCAUCCCGCCAUUCAAUAAUGGAAGCGGUAUACGAUACAUUUGUGGUUCCCAGAUAUCAGAAAUAGCUGCAAGAAAUUAAUGUAUGAUAAUACAAAAAAAUGCAGGUAGAGUCAAUAGAACCGACAAAUUAUUUUGGACGACGAGUUCUCGAUACACAAUGGUGGUCGGAUCAUCCGAUGAGGCGAUACUUGUUGGGUCCUCAUGUGGUCCUCAUGUGGUGGUGCUUGUACAACAAGAAAAUCUAUAGAGAAUAGAGCCGGUAAAGGUGAGAAGAAGUAGCAGUUGAGGAAUCAGUUGGUUAGGAUUCUUCGGGAGAAGAAAUAGUGGCUGAUGAAAUGUUGAAGCGAAAAAAGAUCAACUAUAAGCAUUGAAAUGGAAAUGACGUCAGCACUCAAACUAGAUUGAACAUAAUUGGGUAAAUGUUCGAGAAAAGAAUGAUAUCUUGAGAAAUAUGCAUGUGACGAGCAAUAGGAUCAUAACAUCGUUGUGUUCAAGAUAUAGCCUAAGAAAACACGAAUAUAUAAUUUCAGGGAGAGUUUGGUCAUUCAUGUCAGGGUGGGAGAACAAAACAAGUGUACACACACACACGCGUGCGCACACACACACACACCCCGGGGGAUAUGGCAGAUAAGAGACUACAAGGCAUGAUAUAAACUAGACACAUAUGUAGAGAAAGCAUCAACCCAAAAAUGUUAAGGCGUAGACCCAUCUAUAAGAUGAGAGUAAGCAGUUUUAAAGAUGUCUCAUAUCAGUGCUUACGCUCAGCAAUGUCAUUUUGUUGAUGCACAUACAUGAAAGUUGUGGCAAAGUAUCAUGUUUAGCAAGGAGUAGAGGAAACUCAUUCGAAAAUACUCAUGCAUGCUGAUCUCUCCAUUUUUUUUUUGGUUAACGUCGAACCAAGUGGGCCCAAAGAUAACAAUAACAACAUCGAAUGCUCCACUUGUCUUGUCUAGCACUAUAACUUCUAAAAGAAUUGGAAGGUAUAGAUGAGAAGAAGUAGACACUAAUGCAGGUAGAGAAGUUGUAGGAUCACGAGCAGCGAGGACAAUAAGCAUCGCAGAAAUAGAGGAACUUAGAACUUGAAGGCAUGUCUCUGCAGCAAUUAGUUUCGCCAGAGCUGCAUCAAUGGUGAGGAAUGGAGUUCGAUGGAGAAGUUGACCACGCAAGGCUUCAAACUUAGGUAGCAAGUGCAUAAGGAACUAGAAUAAACAUUGUUGAUUGUGCACUUGCUUUUGCUUGAAAGCACACUGACAAGCUGAGCAAGUGCGGCAUAAGGGUAUCCAUAGUUGCUAUUUGAUGCCAAAGUGCCUGCAUAAAGUCAUAGAAAAUCGAAAUUAUGCGCUCCUCUUGAUGAGCUGUGGAGAUUGUGUCAUGCCUUGAGUCCGACCAAUUGGACCCGCUUGGACAUGUACAAUAGAUCCACUGGACAAGACAAGUUUUCCCCUACCCAUACGAAGCAGAAACAUACAGCAACCUGUACAAUGCCAUAUAUGAAAUAGUUAUAAUAGAGCAUUAGCGUAAUAUUUCUAAAUUAAAACCACUGCAAACGUACUCAUUUAAAGUUUACCAAACUUAAUACAUUCCAAAAUAUUACAAUUUUAUUGUUCAUAUAAAAAGGUACAAUCUAAACCACGUACUCACAUGGUCUAACUACUCCACAACGCCCUUACUAUGGUCCCGCACCUCAAAGAUAAUAAUAGGAUCUGAAAAUAGGUAAACAACAAUGGAAUAAGAACUUGGAAUGAGUUCUGAAUAGGUGCAACCACUGAAAGUGGUAUUCUAUACUCACCAAGUUCCAAACGGGCGUUAGUAAUAAGUAAUAAUAAACAACAUCUAUUACCACAAUAGAAAAGUAAAUAAGUAAGAUAUAUCUAUAAUGCCUCUCUAUAUAUAUAAUAUGCAAAAAUGGUUUGCUAUGUUAUUUACUACACAUUCACCUCAUUUUAUUUUCUUAAUUUUAACAAACUUGUUCAUUUGGUUUACUUUUCAAUCUCAGUACACACCUUAUGGAGAGUCAAGGAUGAUCGAACUUCUCUCCAAUCGGUAGGCACUUGGGAUUGAAGGAGAUCAGAUUUUCUCUAGUAUGGCAUCGGGAGUUGAGAGGAUUAGACUUCUCCCUUUAUGACACUUCCGAAAAUCGCAACAUGUUUCAUUGUUACACCUUAAGUUCGUGACUUCUAGGGUUGUCAUAAGGUUUAUUUCCAUAUUGUUUUAUUUUCUAGUUCUAGUUUUGCCUAGAGAUACCACUAUAUUCACAUCUUAGGUUUCAAAAUAGGUUAAACGCCACACUUGUUUUCAACAUUUUAUGGUUCACAUAAUACUCACAUGUACAUCUCAAGUAUUUUCUUGUAGUAUAAUAAAGGGAUAAAAUCCUAUUUUCCUAGGCCAAAUGGCAAUAUACAAUUUUGACUCUCUAGAUCCCCUAGCAUGCAACUAAAAUAUAUUUCAGCUUAUAUAAAACUCAUAAAAUAUGCAUGCAACAAAAAAAUAAUUUAGACAAAGAGGAAACUAAAUCUAUUUUGAUUAUAUUCUUUACCUUUUCUUAGAUCUUCUCUAAGAGAUGCUCUUGAUCUUUUUAGAAUACCAAGAAAAUCUUAAAAAUUAAUUCUAACCAAGUUAGAAUCUAAAAAUUCUAUGUUUAGGAAAAUUCCCAAAAUAAACCAGAAGAUUCCAACUUACCUCUUCUCUUCCUGGUAUAAGAAAUGCGGGUGAAAUGGACUUCUUCUCCCUCCAAGAGCGUUCUCUUGAUGAAUUUGACCUUCUCCAAGCUUUCAAGGAAAUAGAUCUUUAAGUUUCAACAAUAGAGAUUUUAGGGCUCUUUUACUGUAAAGAAAGAGAGAAGAGGAUAGUGAGAGAGGAAGAAAUAUAAGAGAAAUUAGGGCUAACUAAUUAAAAGGAUACUCAUAGACGUGCUAUAAUAGCACAUAAACCCGCCGACAAUCCAAAUUUAUAAAGCCAUAAACCUCGACCUUUUAACUAGGAUUCGGGCACCCACUUGUCCGGACUUUCAGGUGCCGGUCCAAACUUUUAGGAGCCCAAAAGCCUCGUAGCUCCCUUUGGUCAAUUGUCUAGAUGCCCGGCCAAUCCGCCCUAUCCAUAAUACGGGUGCCCAAAAUGGACAUCAGGUGUCCAAUUAUUUAAUCCAUCACACAUGCGCUCUCAGGUUGAACAUCCAAAAGACAUUCGGAUGCCCGCGAGGGACUGCUUGAAAGAUUUUUCGAGCGCCAGAUUUUGGUCAACCGAAUAUUCAAUCCUUCACCUCCCAAGUUCUCGGGUUGGGAGUCCGAAAGAGGGUCUGGAUCCUCUUAAGUAGGAUUUGAAAGGUUAAUUUGCAGGCACCUAUGGGGCCAUUCGGGCACUCUAAAGUCAUCCUUCAAGUGAGUCCCACUGUCCGAAAUGGUUUCGGGUGCUUGGGAUCCUGUUUCGAGCGCUUGGGAUCCUAUUUCGGGCAUCCGAGAAGUUUGAUACUUCAGUUUUCACUUCUUUGAAAAUCAAUUUCAAUAUAAAUUAGUUUAUAUUCGGUCCAAAUUCAAACUACACUCCUUCAAACCCAUUUUAAUUGUGUCUAGCAUGACUUAAUCCGUACUUUGUUAAUUUAGCCAAAAUUCAGUAUGUUACAGAUUUUCUAUACUUAGAAAAUAACCAUAACUAUACUAUCUAUAUAUUUGUCUCUAUAUAUCGAUCAAAGAUAGACCACAUCUGGUAAAUGGUGGAUAGGCUGAUUAAUUGCAUACAAAUGUCGAUAUCCACUUGUAUAAAUAAGCCCAUGUGCCCGUCAAUCAGCAGCAAAUCAGGCUUUAGUUUUGUUUCAUCAACUGUUAGAUUGGUACCAUCAAUAUGACUGGUAAGAUCAAGAGUAUUCAAAUAAUAAUUGAAUACACAUCGACCAUUCAUAAUAGUUGGGCACGAUGAGCUUAAUAUCAAUUUGCACAAUAGUAGGUUAGAGGUGAGAGAACUAUUUUUCUUUACAGGUCUAAGCUAUUAGAGAAUGAUCCUUUAACUAUUAUGUGCUCAAAACAUUUUGGCAUCUAAUGGCAGAUUUUGGCUAAAAGCCAAAUAUGCAAAUUGCUAAAACUAAAUUAAAGAUUAGUAUCAAAAGAUUUUGGCAGAAAAUUAGUCUCAAAAGAUUCGGAGUCAAGACCUUAUGCUUUGAUAUCAUUUAGGACAUUGUUUUCACUUCCAUAUAUACUCAAUAGGGAUUAUCUUAAAUUCUGUUGAAUUCGCAGGUCCAUUCCAAUUUAUGAUGUGAUCCAAAAUUUUAGCAGUAAAAUUAAAAAUUUCACUACUAGAAAAUUAGUCAUUAGUGACAUUUAUUUACGCUGCUAAAAGAUCAACGAAUGCCACUAAAAAUUUUAGCAGCAUAUGACACUAACUGUUGCAUAUGCCAAUGUUGCUAAAAGUAUUAGCAGUAUUUAUAAUGAAUGCUGCCAAUGUAAAUCAAUUAGUGUUAUUAGGAACAUGCCUCUAAUAUAAAUCAAUUAGUGUCAUUCGGAACAUGCCGCUAAAAGGGAUUAAAUGCUAAUUUUAACUUAUUUAUUAGUGGGACAUAAAUUAAUAUAACGCCACAAAUACAAAUAUCUGAUUUUAGGGACUCAAGUUUUAAAAUUUUAAUUUUACCCGCUUCAGCUGGAAAUGUGAAUCAACUAGGAUUCAAACUUGAGACCUCAGUUACCAACCAUCAAGCACUUUGUCACUUACGCUAGGAACUCUCAGUUAUAUAUAUUUAAUUUUUUUUAAAUUUUAAGCCUUCAAUUUUAAAAUUUUAAAAUUUUAAAUUCUAAAUUCUAAAUUUAGAUACUAAAUUUAAAUUUUUAAUUUUCAAAUAUUAAAUUUUAAGUUUCAAAAUUUACAAUUUUAAAUGUGAAAUUUUAAAUUUAAAAAAAAUGUAUAAAUUUAAAAAUUAAAAAUUAAAAAUUUAAAUUUUAGAAUUUAAAAUAGAAAAUAUAAAAUCUUAAAAUUCAAAUGUUAAAUUAUAAGUUUAAUUUUAAAAAUUAUAAGUUUCAAAUAUUUAAACUUUAAUUUCAAAACUUUUAAUUCUAAGUAAAAAUAGGAUAUAUUAAUAAUUAUAUAUUGAUUAGUAACGAUAUUUAGUAAUAAGUACUGCUACUUUAUUACAUUUAGUGGCGUUCAUUAAUUUACGCUGCUAAUUUAUCCUAUUUUGUAACAUUAAUAAUAAAUUACUGCUAAAUUAUUAAAUCUAGCGGCAAUUAUUAAAUAAUGCUGUUAAAUAUAUUAAUUAGCUUAAUUUAAAUAAAUAUUGUGAAGUAAGUGUUGCAGCAUUUAGCAAUAAGUGCUGCUAUUUUGUUACAUUUAGUGUUAUUUUUUAUAAAAUGUUGGAAACUUCAGCGGCAUUCACUAAUUUAUCAAGUACGAAUAAUUGUAAAUUGCUACUAAUUGUAACUUCAGCGGCAUUCAAUAAGUGCUGGUAAUUUAUCCUAUUUGUAACAUUAAUUGUAAAUUGCUGCUAAAUUAUUAAAUCUAGCGGCAAUUAUCAAGUAAUACUGUUAAAUAUAUUAAUUAGCAUGAUUUAAAUAAAUGUUGUGGAGUAAAUGUCACUAAAUCAUGAAUUUGUUAUAGAAUUUUAUGAAACUCCAUGGUAGUAGCACUAGAAGCCCACUACUUGCUUUGUGAGUGCAAGGGCAGCGCUCCUGCAAAUUGGAAUAGUUAAGUCGGGGCCAAAGUUUUUCUAACCCCUAAACUUUUGAUCUACCAAUUUAGUUAAACUUAGACUAGUAUCGUUAAUUCUUUAGAGAUUUAACCGCUUACAUAUGUUGAUAGACCUUACUCCGUGGAUUUGUGGUAUCAUAGAGAGCAUGACAUCUAUUUUGCAGGUUAGGAUAUUUUGAGAGACGUAUGUUUUGUACUCAGCUUUCGAUUAUAAAAAGUUUUGCUUCAUCUUUGUUCAUGGAUUCAGGUCAGUGGUCAAACAAGAUUAUUUUCUUGUGAUUUUUUUUUCUUCUCUAUUUUUUGAUUCUCCGUUUUCUUUUAUCUGAUUUUUAGUCUUUGUUGUUACGAGAUACUUACCUCCCAAAUGUCUCACCUUGAAGCUGUGAAUGCCACUAUAUAGUUAGUACAUAUAGACGAAUAUAUAAGCAACGAGUUGAUUUAGGUAAAUAAUUAUUUAGCCACCACUCCAUCCUUCUUCUUUUCACUUAAUUGGAAUUGCCUUUUAUACUCAAAUUUUGGCAUGUUACAUACUAAAUGUUGAAAACUGAUGUGGAUAAAAUUAAAUUGUCUUAGAACUUCGAAGUAGAAAUUUUUCUUCACAGUGUGGGCCAUUAUUUCAUAAAUUGGAAGAUAAAUUAUGUUUGGCAGUAUGUUUAGGAUAUGAAAUCAAGUCUGCAGGAAAACUUAAUUUAUGUAUGCUUCUAACGGAUGAUUCCAAACUUAAUUUAUGUAUGCUUCUAACGGAUGAUUCCUUACGUGAUGCAGGAUGAGGACUUUCCUAAUUGAGGGUUUCAUGUGCCACACUCAUAAUGCUGCAUGGCACACUCUACACAACAUUAUUUGUGGGAGUGCUAACAAGAUGGAGAAUUAUCUAGACAUUGUCAAGAAUCAGCUAAAGUGCAAUGUAACUAUAUUUCACGGCCGAAAAGAUGAGCUCCUCCCUGUUGAUUGUAGCUAUGCUGUCGGGUCGAAGAUCCCUAGGGCUCGUGUUAAGAUCUAUGAUGAGAAGGACCAUAUCACGGUUGUCGUUGGCCAAGAAAGGGUUUUCGCAAGAGAGCUUGAAGAGAUAUGGAAAAAUGCUAUGCAUUAAAUAAGGAGGAGGAAGAAAGAAUUUAAACCUAAAUGAAAUAACUUCCCUCUCAAUGCACAGCUCAAAGAAAUGUGAUGCAAACAAGUGAUGCAUGUUUGAGCAAAUAUAUAUAUAUCUUUUGUUUCUCUCUUUCGUUCUUUUUUAAAAAAAUUUCUUUCUAAAGUACUUAUGUUUUACCACUAUAUGUGGUUCUAUAUGGUACCCCUUAUUCAAGUGUGAAAUAUGUAAGAUAGAAAUAUUAUGGGGAAAGAUAUAGAUUUCUCUACUUUUCAUAUAUUCUUCUUAUGAACUAUGUAGUAUUGUUAGUUAAUAACUUCAUUAUUAAAUCAUCAAUCUUACUACAUCGAGAGGGCAACAAAUUAUAUAUCACUCCCCGAGGCUGUUUUGUAAAAUAUUUUCUUUGAAAACGAGUGAAAAACAUGCUUUUUCUGAACUAAAAAACUGCCCUGAACAAGCACUGAUUCGCCAUACGAACAAAAUCUUCCCUAUCCAAAUGGAUAGAGUUUUUUCUGUACGCAUGACAUAUAUAGAGACAUAAAGUACAACAUCCAACCAUCAAACACAAUAGUAGCAACAACAACGACAAUAGAGAGAUAACAACAUACUAAUAAAUGAUCGACUAUUAUGAUGAAUAAAUGACUACUGCAGCCUCCAAUCUUCACAUACAACAAGUCACCUCCUACAACCAAAAUCAAAUAACAAUAUAUACAGGCCAGAAGCAAGAAUUAAUAAUACUGAAAAGUGAAGAAAUACAGAUACUAAAACCGACUACAAGGAAGCCACCCAAACUACUAAGAAGAACAAAUCUACAAAUGCUAAAUAUACAAUAACUAAAUAAUUAGGAGUUUGAAACAAAAGGUAUAAUUACAACUCAAAGUUACUGCCAGAGGGACUCAUCUAUCUAAUAGUACCUCAUGCACAGGCGGAUAUGUCACCUCUAGUGUCACCUGUGGAAACUAGGGAAUGAAAAACAUGUACACAUAUUUUUCAGUGCGUACUGCAAGCCGUCGAAGGCAAGCUGUACUCACUAGUAAAUAAGAGAGAGAGAGCGAUAAGGUAAAUACGAUAGGUAUAAACAGGUAUAAUUGAUAUAGUAAAAGUAAAACAAGAAAGAAAUCAUGCGACUAAAUAUUUGAAAUAAUAGCACUAUUGUAAAAAGAUAAGCAGAUGUAUAUAUGCAUCAAGCAAAUGAAUACUUCAAUACUCAGUCCCAAUCCAAACAAAUAUUGUCAUGUUGGUCUAAAGACCUUAGGCAAUGCCACACCUAUGCUUAGUCACUAGGCAUAUAAUCCUUCACGCCCUAGGGUUCGGCUCAUGUCACGCCCCGGGGUCCCUUUUCAGUUUAAAACAAAGCGGAAAAGCGUCUGAAAUUUUUUUUUUUUUUGAAAACCUGACCCCAGAGUAUGCCAGAUCCGCCACAAAUACAGGGAAUCCACUGUUCACACGGACAGAGUCUCCCCUGUAUUUGCACGGCGUCGCACAAGUACAAGAAGUCACCCAAGCACAACCACAACAAAUGAACAUACAAAUAACCAACCGUUAUAUAUAUUCAUACGCCAUUCACCACAGAUUCACAUGUAUGCAUAAAUCCACACCUAUCAGUUAAAAUAUUUCCAACCACAGAAACAGGUUUUGAAAUACUAAGAUGCAAAAUCCACAGAAAGCUUUUUGAAAACUGUUUCCUACACGGAAACCUUUAUUCUUUAAAAAUGCUACCACGAGGGGUAGAAAAUAUUUUACUUUACAAAAUCCAGAAAUCCGUUUAUUACAUUCACGAAAAUCCAUAUUUUCAAAUGUAAUAAAAAAUACUGAACCAUAUAACUAUCUAAGCUAUAACAACUGAAAUAAUAAGGGUAAUAACUAUACCGAAAUAACCUGGGUCGGAAGCUCUAUCGACCGCUACACACGUACCUCACGUCUCGUCCCACUACUCAUCGCCCGCGAUACCUGAAAAAUGGUGGGGGAGGUGAGAACAUGUAAACAUGUCUCCCCUCCCAGUGGGUACCGCAAGCCGAAGAAGGCGAGGAGUACUCACCGGAUCAGGAAGAACUAUACAACAACAUGGGUCAGUGGAAAUAAACAAGGUAAUGAGCAGAUAUACAAUAGCGAUAAACUGAAAGGAAGUAAGAACUAUACUGAAUAAACGGCUACCGCUACUGUAACUGGAACAGAAAGCAUACAUGAAUAUCUACUAUAGUAGCAAGACAACUAUAAAGUAAGAUCUGUAAGUAUGCAUGCAACGACUGCUACUAUAAACAUAUGCGUCAAUGGGACAAUCAGUCCAAAAGUACCCAAUCUGAAACCAAUGCUCUCUUGGUCAGCACCGCAGACCUCAAGCCAAUGCCCUGGAGGUCCGCACCGCAACACCUCCCGACAGUACCACUGCCGCUCUAACAUGCAUAUAACCCCUCUAGGGCUCACGGGUUGUCACCAUUCAACCACUUUUCCGGAAAAGAACACUCCUUGCGGUGGAUCAGACCGCCAGUGUUCGUGAAAUGCGACGAGUAUCGGGCGAUCAAUGCAAUAUGGUCAAUGAUCAACCGUCGGCAACCAGCCGACAAUCCUGCCCCCCAGGGCCUAUCGACCGCAUAGGUCAUCAACUGUAAAGAAGCACAAGAACCGACCACUCAGGUCAACUAGGAUGGGACAACAUCGACAUCCUCUCAAACAUAUGCAAAUACUGACUAAUCAAGUCAACUGGGAUGGAACAACUCAACAUCCUACCCACAGUAUGUAGAUACUGAUCAAUGAGUCAACUACUGUAUAUAUGCAAGAAUCGGUCAACAAGUCAUCUGAGUAUAUGAUCUAGAACUACCGUCGGCCACUAGUCGACAAUCCUACCCCUCAGGGUACACCGACCUCAAAGGUCAUCAAACAACAAGAGUCAAGGAACAAACCGACUAUAUACAGAUAUAAGAUACAAGAACGAAUCAACUAGGUCACCGAUUUCACAUAAAAUCACGAAACCGCUCUACUCUAAACAUGAUACAGGAUAUGCAGAAUAGCUAAGUAGAGCAACAAAGAAAUAUGGUAUAACUACUCUACUCCUACUCAUGAUAUAAAGAGAACAACCGAGUAGAGUGUAACUGAACAACAUGGUGCUAGGCUCAACACUAUAUAUCAAGAUAUAUAUAUGCUAGAUAAUAACGAAAGAGCAAAGGUAAGAAACCAUCACCGAGCGUGCACCACUGUACCGACGUCGGAUCGAAGUACCCACCUGUACAACUGUCGCGCCUGUCUCCUGACUGCAAAAGAACGUCAACAGGACCUAUGGAGGGUCCACUGGGUUAGUGUCUAACCCACAACUAAGAAAUACUACAUCGUAAUCCCGCUAACAAACCCACGGAGAUCAGUUUCCCAAAACCGACUACCGUAACUCGCCGGAAGUCCCAAAAAUCGCACCGGGACUCCGUCGGGACCCACGAACUGUCCCGAAAUGUUCCAACUCAGGAUACGAGUCACCCGCUGACACAAAACACACCAAUUUGGAUGUCUUGGCAGAAAACACAAGUUAACACAACUACACAAUUAUCGCCGGAUAAUUGUACGAACUCGGGUUCCCGAAAGUGUCAAAUUCGACACCGGAACCCACCGUCGCUCACUCGUCAUUUCUGAACUCUCGAAAUGACGCAAGUGGCCAGAAAACAAGGCUCGGCGACUACACAAUAGCUCACGAAGCACCGUCGGAAUAAUUCCGAACCGAACCCGCGUUCUAUCGGCGGAUUUCGCCGAAAAACGCAUCGAAAAUCACUUUUCGAUUUUCGCAAGGGCUUGGGGCCUUGGACGAUCAGUCCAGAGGUUAUCCUUAGCCCAAACGUGCUGCCAACAGCAUCUACAUCGAAGCAAAAGUCCUAAAAGCCCAUACCGAUACAUGAAAUCGCAUCAUUUCAUGUGAUUUCUAGGCUUUUCUGGACCGUGCACGCAAACCAGAGGUCGAUUAAUCCGACCGUCGCACUCGCUGACAGGUUUCAUCAUGUCGGAGGCCGUGCUCACCUUUCGGAGCACUGCCGACCACUGCGGUGCGCGCACGAGCGACACGAAAUCUGUGAAACAGUGCGCACAGCGCGAAGGUCGCGACUAACUUGCUAACCAGGGCAUCUUUGCCGCUGUCGGAGGUGAGCACGAUGUUCAGCACGAACCCUAGAUCAUCGUGCUCACUUCUCGAGGUGUCGGGGAGUCAUCGGAUCACCAGAAAGGUGGCCGGAAAGCUUAAAUUGCAAUGCUGGAACUCAAAAACAGCAUACCGGAGCAGUGGGAGCUAGGGUUGGUCGCCGGCGGCCGGGAGGCGGGCACUCUGGCCGGGGAUGGGAGCAGCCGGUCCGAGAGGUCCGGGGAGGGUGCUGGCCGGCGGCGGGCGGCAACCGGUGGCGCGGCGGAGGAGAUCGACUCCGCCCAUUCCCUCUCGGGUUCGUGCUUCCCGGCGGCGCGGCGGCGGCCGGAGGAGGUCGGGGCGGCUACGGUGCGGCGCCGGAGGCCGAGGGGAAAGUGGUGUACCCCCCGGUGGGCGGCGGCGGCACUUGGAUGUCGAGCGGGCCCGACCUCGGCCCGCACAGGUCUGGGUAGCUGCAGGAGAUCUCAGCGGCGGCCGGCGGCGCGCGGGGACGGCGGGGGACGCGCGCGCCGGGUUGUCGGAGGUCGCCGGGGCCGACUGGAGGGCGGCACGGCCGAAGUAAGGCGAGGACGCAGAGUUCGAGCUGGCUCGGUCUGGGUUGACCCGAGUUGGCCGCAGGGAGCGGGGGUGGAUCCGGUGGCGCUCGGGGGUGGUCGGGGCCGACGAGGGAGGACGACGGAGAUGGACCUCGGCCAGAGGAUGAUGCUCCAAGGGUGAAAGAAGCUUCCUUCGCAGCUUCGGCGAAGUCGGAGGAGAGGGUGGCCGAGAGAGCAAGAGAAGAGGUCGGGGUGGCUUUUCCGGCGGCCGGGGCAGCUCGCCGGCGGCUGGGGCGUGCGCGCGGGUUGGGCAGGGAGAAGGUGGGGCGGCUAGGGCUCGGUUCGGCUGAGGAGAAAGCCAAAAGCUAGGGUUUCCUCACGAAACCCUAGUGCAACUACUAUUUACAUAUGUACAAUUGCAAGAUAGUCCUCCCAGGGAUAAUAUUCUCAGUCAAGUCCCUCACAGCAUGUGUAUUUUACACAUACGCACCUCCAUGUCCGAUCUCAAGCAAUUCGGCACAUAAAAUAUUAGAUCUUUUCGCGAUUUAACCGUUUUGCCAAUUUGACCUCUUAGCGAUAACUUUGCAAUUACCGGAGAUCCGUCCGUCGGAUUUUCGAUCCGACUGUGCCAUCGCGUUCAGUACAACGGGGGCAUCGAAACUACGAUUUCGUUUCAUCCAAUUUGGUCACGGAUUCGCGACGGAACCCAUCUGCUCUCUAAUUAAUCCAUAUAUCGUACGUAUACCAAUGUGUAAACCCAUUAAACCAACUUUCGUAUUAGAAAUUGACUUCCCUACCACUAGUAGGGACCCGAAACAUUCUUCACCCUACUCCAGGUCACAAGCACGGGGCACGAGAAGCUUUAGAAUGCACAGAAAAGCAAAGAGCGGAAACCCUCUUUUCGGUAAAACUCCUUUUUCUCGAAAAUCGUGCAUCAGAUCUGAAAUCCGUCAGUGCCAUUGGUUCCAGAACAGCUGAACCGAUCGAAACGAGCUAUUGGAUCGCUAUGAACGGAGUCCGAUAAGCGCCGAAAGCCAACUCUACUCCGUGGCUUCACCGAAAAACUGGAGUUACUAUUCACUUAAGUGAAAACUAAUAAUCACGUAACUUCUCCGUUCUAGCUCAUUUUCUCCUGAAACUUGACGAGUGCUUAUGUAAUUAAAUUACACACAUAAAUAUCGUCAACAGAGAGUUUAGUUGCACUGUAAAAAUCUCAAUCCUUACAGCUCAACGUGGGUUUGCCAAUAGAUCUGCCGCAUACACAAGAAGCCUUGUGUAUACGAAGCGAUAGUAGUACUUGUAAAGUAUAAAAGAACAACUAUAAGCAAGUAAUAGGAUUGUAAAAAACUGCUAAAACUAAAACAUGAUCCACUGUACAUACAUAAGAUCUAGGGAGUACAAUAAAGAAAUCCAAAAGUACAAACAUCAUCUCUCGCAAUUGUAAAAUAAUAUAUAUAUAUAUAUAUACGUAUAAUAUAUAUAUAGAACGUUCGGCUACUAUGCUUAUCGUAGCACGAGCGCUCCGUGCUACCAAGUUGUUUUCGAUGAUGCGGCUUUCUGAUCGACGAUCGGCUCCGUUAGACUUGAUCGAACACUAUUGAAAGUAUUUGAAACUAAAUUUCAAAUUUUUUCGACAUCAUUUGACUAGUGAUCAAAAGAUCUCAAAAUUGACAAUUUUAAUGGCCGAUGUGGGUGUGUUUGUGAGUUAACGGUGUAAAAAUAAUCCAAAUGCGAUGAAAAAUUUAUAUAAAAAUUCUUUUCACUAUUUAGAGUAAGAUCAGUAUAUCUUUUUUGAAUUAAUCUUUUUAUAUCAUUUUUCUAUGAGAUUUUUAUUUUCAGCCGUUCAAUUUUAGACCUACUUGUUUGAUAGGUAAAUAAUAUUCCGAAAACACACUUAUGAACACUUAUUUCUAAAUACUUUCCCACAUAGUAUAGAUUCAAGCUCAACCGGAGCCGAUCGGUCGACUUCUGGAAGUAGCAUCAUCGAAAACAACUUGGCAGCACGGAGCGCUCCGUACUAUCGAUAGUAUAGUAGCCUAGCUCAUAUAUAUAUAUAUAUAUGUAUGUAUGUAUAUAUGUAUAGCAUAGUACUAAUAUAAUAAUAUAGAUAUAUCUAUAUAUAUAUAUGUAUACAUAUAUACAUACAUAUAAUAUAGAUAUAUGUAUAUAUAUUAUAUAUGUAUUAUAUAUAUAUAUACAUAUAUAUAUUACUAUAUAGAUAUAUUAUAUAUGUAUAUAGAUAUAUUACAUAUAUGUAUAUAGAUAUAUCACAUAGAUAUAUAUAGAUAUAUAUAUAUAUAUACUAUAUAUAUAUAUAUACUGUAUAUAUAUAUAUAGUAUGUUAUAUGAUUAUAUCUAUAUCUAGAUUGUAGGAUAUACAUAUAUAUAUAUAUAUAUAUAGUAUAUACACAAUAUAACAUAUAUAUAUAUAUAUUACAUAUAACAUAUAUAUGUAUAUCUACAUACAUAUAUACUAUAUGUAUAUCUACAUAUAUAUAUAAUAGUAUAUAUAUUAUUGUAUAUCUAACAAUAUAGAUAUAUAUGUAUAUAUAUAUAUAUAUUAUAUAUAUAUAUACUGUAUGUAUAUAGUAUAUACUAUAGAAAUUUAAAUAUUCUGUAUAUUAUAUAUAUAUACAGGAUAUACAUAUAUAUAUAUAUAUGUAUGUAAUAUAUAGUAAUAUAUAGUAUAUCUAUAUAUAUAUAGGGUAGUUAUACCAGAUAUAUAUAACCUACCUAUAAUCAUGUAUAUAUAUAGGUAAUACAUAGGUAGGUUAAUACAUAUAUAAUAUAGUAGAAGGUGGUAUACAAUAUAUUAGGGGGGGGGUAGGUUAUAUAACCUACCUAUAUAUAUAUAUAUAUAUAUUAGUUUAGUAUUAAUAUUUAUAUAUAUAUAAUAUAUAUAUACUAUAUAUAUUUAUAUAAUUAUAUAUUAUAACCUACAAUCUAUGAUAUAUAUAUAACCUCCUAUAUAUGGUUAUAUAUAUAUAUAAUAUGUAUAUAAUAAUAUACCUAAUCUAUAUAUAUAUAUAACCGAGUUGGGCUGGGGUGCUUUCGGAAAGAAGCACGGAGCGCUUCCGUGCUUCCACUUUGUUUUCCGAUGUUCGGACUUUCGAAUCGACGAUCGGCUCCGUUAGAGUUGAUCUACGAGCUAUUUAAAGUACCAAGAAUUAAAUUUUGCGAAUUUUUCGAUAUCAUUUGCCUUAAGUGAUCCGAAGGGGCUUCAAAAUCAAUAAUUUUAACGGCCGUGGUGAGCCAGUUUGCAAGUUUAACGGUAUAGAAAUAUCCCAAAUCCACGGAAAAUUUUGAUAGAAUUCUUUAUUACCAUAUAAAACAAGAUCAAUACUUUUGUGAUCUAAAUUUUAAUGGUCGAUAUCAUCAUAUUUUGGUGAGAUUUUUAUUUUCAGCCGUUAUUUGAGCCACUUCGAUCACUAGGGCAAAUGAUAUCGAAAAAUCGCAAAAUUUAUUUUCUAGAUACUUCAAAUACCUAGAUCAAGUCAUAAACGGAGCCGAUCGUCGAUUUGAAAGUCCCAACAUCGGAAAACAAAGUGGAAGCACGAGCGCUCCGUGGCUUCUGAAAGCACCCCCAGACGCUACUCAUAUUAACUUACCUAUAUAUGUAUAUAGUAUAUAGGUAGGUUAUAUUAUAAUAUAUAUACAUAUAUAGGUAGGUUAGUAUAGUAUAUACUAUAUAGGAGUUAUAUAUUAUAUAUAUAGUAGGUAGGUUAUACAUAUAUAUAUAGUUAGGUAGGUUAUAUUAUAUAUAAUAUAAGAUAUAUAUAUAGGUAGUUAGGUAGAUGUAUAUAUAGUAUAUAUAUGAACUAUAUAUAUAUAACUAUAUUAUAUAUAUAUAGGUUAAGUUAUGUAUAUAUAUAUUAUAUAUAUAUUAUAUAUAUAUAUAUAUAUAUAUAGUAUAUAUAUAGUUAGUAGUAUAUAUGUAUAUAUAUAUAGGGUAGGUAGAUGUAUGUAUAUAGGUAGGUUAUAUAUAUAGUAUAUAUAUAUAUAUAUAUAUAUAUAUAUAUAUAUAUAUAUAUAUAGAUAUAUAUAUAUAUACAUAUAUUAUAAUAUAUAUAUGUAUAUACAUAGUAUAUAUAUAUCUAGUAUAUAUAUAUAAUAUAUAUAUAUAUAUAUAUAUAUAUAUAGUAUAUACUAUAAUAUAUAUAUACAUAUAAUAUAAUAUAUCUAUAUUAUAUAUAGUAUAUAUAAUAGUAGGUAGGUUAUAUACCUGAUAUAUUUAUAACCAACAUAUAUAUUAUAGGUUGUUAUACAUAUAUAUAUAUAGUCAUAACCUACUAUAUAUAGUAGUUUAUAUACUAUAUAGGUAGAUUAUACAUAUAUAUAUAUAGGGGUAGUUAUAUAUAUAUAUAGAGAGUAGUUAUACAGAGUAUAUAGGUAGGUUAUAACCUACCUAUAUAUGUAUAUAUUAUUAUAACCGUACAUCGUAUGUAUAUUAUAACCCACCUAUAUAUGUUAUAUAUAUAUAUGUAUAUUGUAGGUAACUACGUAUAUAUAUAUAUAGCUAUAUAUAUAUAUAUAGUAUAUAUAUAUUAAGUAUACAUAUAGUAUAUAUAUAUAUAACUACAGUCGUAUAAUUAUAUAACCUACCGUAUAGUAUGUAUAGUAUAUAUAGGUAAUACAGAUAAGUAUAUAUAUAUAUAUAUAUAUAUAUAGUAUAUUAGUAUAUAUAUAUAUAUAGGAUUAUAUAGUAGUAUAUAUAUAUAUAAUACGUAUAUAUAGUUAUAUAUAUCUGUAUAACCUACCUAUAUAUAUAUAUGAUAUAUAUAUAUAUAAAUAUAGAUAUACUAUAUAUGUAUAUAGAUAUAUCUAUAUAUAGCAUAUAUAGAUAUAUCUUAUAUAUAUAUACAUAUAUACAUAUGAUAUAUAAUAUAUAUAUACAGUAUAUAUAUAUAUAGUAUAUAUAUAUAUAUAUAAUCUUAUAUGUAUAUAUGUAUAUAUAUAUAGAUAUAGUCUAUAUAUGUACUAUAGUAUAUAUAUGGAGUCGGUACUAUACUAUCGGUAGCACGGAGCGCUCCGUGCUACCAAGUUGUUUUGAUGAUGCGGCUUCCAAAUCAACGAUCGGCUCCGUUAGACGUUGAUCUACACUAUUGAAAGUAUUUGGAAACUAAAUUUCAAGGUUUUUUUUACAUCAUUGACUAGUGAUCAAAAGAUCUCAAAAUUUGACAAUUUUAAUGGGCCUAUGUGGUGUUUGUGAGUUUAACGGCUGUAAAACAAUCCAAAUGCGGAUGAAAAUUUUAUAGAAUUCUUUUCACUAUAUUAGAGAAAGAUCAGCAUAUCUGAUCUUGGAAUUUAAAUCUUUAUCAUCCAUUUUUUAUGGAGCAUUUUUAUUUCAUGCCGUUCAAUUUGUGAGGGCUACUUGUGUUGGUAGGUUAAAUGGUAUUGAAAAAUUAUAAAAUUUAGUUUUCUAAAUACUUUUUUAAAUGAGUGUAGAUCAAGUCUAACGGAGCCCGGAUCGUCGAUUUGGAACCGCAUCAUCGAAAACAACUGGUAGCACGAGCCGCUCCGUUGCUACCGAUAGUAUAGUCAGCCUAGCUUAUAUAUAGUAUAUAUAGGUAUAUAUAUAGUAUAAGUAUAGUAAGUAUAUAUAUAUAUACAUAUAUAUGUAUAUAUAAUAUACAUAUUUAUGUUAUAUAAUAUACAUAUAGUAUGUUAUAUAAUCUAUAUAUGAUACUAUAUGUAGUAUAUUUUGUAUACAUAUAUAUAUGUUAUAUAUGUAUAUACAUAUAAUAUAAUAUAUAUAUGUAUAUUAUAUGUAUAUAUAAUAGUAUAUAUGUAUAUGUAUAUGUAUAUAUAUAUAUAUAUUAUGUAUAGUAUAUAUAUGUAGUAUGUAUAUGUAUAUGGUAUAGCUUAUAUAUAUUAUAUAUAUAGUAUUAUAGUAUAUAUGUAUAUAGAUGGGGUAUACAUUAUAUAUAAUGUAUAUAUAUCAUGAUAUGGUAUGGUACUCCGUGCUGUAUAGUAUAUAUAUAUAUGUAUGGUAUAUAGUAGUAAAUAUAUGUAUGUAUAAUAUAUAUGUAUGUAUAUAUAUAUAUAUGUAUAUAAUAUAUUAUGUAUACAUAACAUAUAUAUAUAGUGGUUAGUACGAGUGUUUGAUUAUUAAGAGUAGAUAGUGUAGAGGUACAUAUGAUUGAUAAUUGUAUAAGAGGGGAUACAGGAUAUAUAUAGUAUGUAUAGUGAUAUAAUAUUNNNNNNNNNNNNNNNNNNNNNNNNNNNNNNNNNNNNNNNNNNNNNNNNNNNNNNNNNNNNNNNNNNNNNNNNNNNNNNNNNNNNNNNNNNNNNNNNNNNNUUAUUUAUAGACUUUAGAAUCAAUCGGAGUCGAAUUAGAAAGUUUUCACGGUUUUACACUGUGUACUGGUACACUUUAAGCUGUUACCGGUUACACGAUGACGGAACGAAAAACCUGACGAAACAGUGAAACCGGUUACAUCCUUGAUGGUCGUACUGGUACACAUUUUGUACCGGUACACUUCUGAUGCUGUACCGGUACACUUUGCAAAUUUCCGCCGUUUCGGGUUUUGCAAAGUCCCAAUGCACUUUCUAAUUCGUUAGACAUUGAUAACAUGAUUCUAAUGUCUACAACUAAGUAUGAAUCACCAUAACAUGAAUUUAUACUUUACCUGAGCAUCGUGAUUCAUAUCGUGAGUUAUUUUCCAACUUUUUCAAAAUCCUGAUUUCUUCGAUCUUCGACGAUAUGCACUGGUUCUUCAAGACUCCGACUCACUUCACGAAACUUGCCAAUACACAAGACUUAACAACCUUAGGCCGGUUGGACUAUAGGAAAUAGGCUCGUGAGAGACGAGGUCUAUUUGACUUGUGAGCGAAAGUAUCAUGAUUGGGUAUCUUGAUAACUCUAUAAAGUUGGAGUUGAUCGAAGUGUAUGACUUCUAACUUCGCGGAGGGUUACGUUGGCGGCCGACAACGUAACAUCGGGAGUUAGUGGUGAAGAACACUUCCUUACUUUCGCAUGAUUUGGGUAUUAUCUUUUGAGCGGGGGUUCGAUAGCGUGGGUUUACUAACUUGCGCUUUUAUGAUGUUGUAGUGACGAUGCCGAUUACACGCUCUCAAUCUACCAGAGCGGAUAAUGCGGCAAACUUGGAGGAGGUCGAGACCUCCGCUACCUCCGGAUCCGGUGAGGUCCGUGAGUUGAGGGGCCAGCUUGCGGCCCUCACUGAUAUGGUGGCACAGCAGACAGAGGCAGCGCGCCGGCAGGAGGCGCGGAUGAAGCGCCUGGAGGACCUUCUUCUGCAACAGGCGGCAGCUUCCAGGGAAACUCAGGCCCCUACACCGCCAGCACCAGUCGUGGACGUCACGCCGAGAGCGCCAUCCCCCGCGCCCAGUUCUUCGUGAGCAGCGCCCAUGGCCGCGCCUCAGGAGGAGGCUAUCGCGGCACCACCUGUGCAGAGGCCCCCAGUUGGAGCAGCUUUCCCUACCUUGGUCGAGGGAGUGGAGCGGGACCGACUCAUGGAGCGCCUCAACGAGUUCAGGAGGUGCAGUCCCCGAAUCUUCGACGGCGAGAAGGUCGACCACUGGAUCGUAGAGAAGUGGUUGAUGCAUAUGGAGAAGCUCUUUCGCGACACCUUCGUGGAGGAGAGGGAUCGGGUUUGGCUCGCCACACACCACCUGGACGGCGAGGCCUAUCGCUGGUGGUUGGAUCUCCAGGAGCACCCCAGCACUGAUUUGGCAGCUAUUACUUGGAAGAGGUUCAAGGAGCUUCUUUUGGCGCAUUACUUCCCGACUAGCGUCAAGAGGAAGAUGGAGCAGGAUUUGCGCAACUUGCGCCAGGGAGACAGGACAGUAGCCGAGUACGAGCGGGAGUUUUCUCGGCUUUUACAUUGCGUGCCUUUCGUCGUGCGGGACGACGAGGACAAGGCCCGCAUCUUCGAGCGAGGGUUGCGACCGUCGAUCUUCCGGUUUGUGCAAUCCUCUAACCUCCAAACCUACCAGGAGGUGGUGGAUCGCGCGCUCAUCGUGGAGAGCGGCACGGCAGAUGUCCAAGAGCGGCGAGAGGCUAUGGACAAGGGUAAGGCCAAGAGGCCUGCGGCUGAGGGUGCGAGCCAGACGCACUCUAGGAGGCCGCCGAAGCAUCCUAGGAGCCAGCAGCGUGGGCGUGGCUCGGCGACUCACCAUGGAGGUUCUGACCGACGCCGACCUCCCCAGUGCGUGAUCUGUGGUGGCCCCCACAUUCCACCGCAGUGCCCGCAGCGAGGAGGGAGGUGUUUCCAGUGUGGCCAGGAGGGCCACUUUCGGACCGAGUGCCCGAGGGGUUCGUCACCGGCACCGUCAUCUGCAUCGGCACCGGCUCUACCAGCCGCCAGCCACGGGACUCCAUCAGCGCAGUACCAGCUCGGGCGGCCACCCGCCCAGCGCCAGAGCGAGGGUUCUCGACAGGCCCCGAGUGGGCGUAUGUAUGCCGCUCAGACCGAGGAGGCGGCAGCAGCCGAGGAUGUGGUCGCAGGUAUCAUUUUUACUUGAUGCAUUAGAGUUCGUGCAUUAUUUGAUACCGGUGCAUCGCAUUCAUUCAUAGAUCGGCUGUUUGCCGAGUUGCAUGGCAUCCCUAUGUUUUCUUUGUUGCAUCCGGGACGUGUAGUUGUCCCUGACCACUCUUUGGAUAUUAGAGAGUAUUGCCCCAGUUGCCCUAUUCGGGUAGGAGAUUGGAUUAUGUCCGUGGACUUGCUAGCCUUGCGCAAGCUGGGGGAGUUUGAUGUGGUCUUAGGCAUGGAUUGGUUGACCAAGUUUUAUGCCACGAUAGAUUGCAAGAAUCGCACGGUUACUUUUAGAGAACCGGGGCAAGUUGAGGUGAUAUUUAGAGGAUGCCAGAGUUCGCUUUUUGCGAUGACGAUCAGCUCGUCUCGAGCUAGGCAACUGAUCAGCAGAGGUUGUGUAGCCUACUUGGCUAGUGUUGUGUUGAGGGGCGAGGGUGAUACCCCGAGGAUUGAGGAUAUUCCGGUGGUACGGGAGUUUUGUGACGUGUUUCCAGCUGAGCUACGGGGCAUGCCACCCGAUAGGGAGAUUGAGUUUGUGGUAGAUCUCAUCCCUGGGACUACUCCAAUCUCGAAAGCGCCCUAUAGGAUGUCACCGGCGGAGCUGAAGGAGCUGAGGGCACAGCUGCAGGAUCUUCUGGAUAAAAGCUUCAUUCGACCGAGCGUCUCGCCUUGGGAAGCACCAGUUUUGUUCGUCAAGAAAAAAGACGGAUCACUUCGCCUAUGCGUGGACUAUCGCGAACUUAAUAAAGUCACGAUUAAGAAUAAGUAUCCGUUGCCGAGGAUCGACGACUUGUUUGAUCAGCUUCAGGGAUCGUGUGUGUAUUCCAAGAUCGAUUUGCAGUCGGGAUACCACCAGUUAAAGAUCAAACCCGAGGAUGUAUCGAAGACGGCUUUUAGAACCCGGUAUGGACAUUAUGAGUUCACUGUUAUGCCGUUCGGGCUUACUAAUGCCCCCGCAGCUUUUAUGGAUCUAAUGAAUCGUGUUUUUAAGCCUUAUCUAGACAGGUUCGUCGUGGUGUUCAUAGACGAUAUUUUGGUUUAUUCCCGAAGUGAUACAGAUCACGAGGAGCAUUUGAGGCUUGUACUUCAAGUACUUCGGGAAAAGGAGCUCUAUGCCAAGCUAAAAAAGUGUGAAUUUUGGCUUCGAGAGGUAGCUUUUCUUGGACAUUUGAUUUCAGGAUAGCUGUGGAUCCUAAGAAGAUUGAAGCAAUCAAGGAUUGGCCGAGACCGACGAGCGUCACGGAGAUACAGAGCUUCCUUGGAUUGGCCGGGUACUACCGGAGAUUUGUUGAGGGGUUCGCCAAGCUGUCUACUCCCCUCACGAGGCUCUUAGGAGAGACCGGUCUCCCAGGGACCGGUCCCUCAGGUGAGGACCGGUUCCCGAACGCGAAAAGUCCCCAGACUGCAGGGAGAGCUCUCGGGGACCGGUCCCUUGUCGGGGAGACCGGUCCCUCUGGGCGAAAACAGCCCAGUGAUAGCAGGUUGAGAGAUGAAAAGUUGAGGGGCUAAAGUAGAUUUUGUUACAAUAGAGGGGCAUAUUAGCCCACUCCCCCUCUCAGCCUCUCAUUUCUCUCUCUCCCUCACUCUCAUUUCUCUCUCGCUCUUUCUCUCUCUAAAAAGGAAAGGAGAAAAAGAAGAACAAGAAGGAGAGGAAGGAAAAGAAGAAGAAGAUAAGGAAGGAGAAGAAGAAGGAGAUCAAGAGGAAGGCUUUGAGCACCUCCAUCUCCCUCUCCUCUUCUCUUUGGUGUAGCUCGUGAGGUAAGCUACUAAACCCUAGCUUCUAGAACUUAGGGUUUUGGGUUUUUAUGCUUUGGAGUGGGUCAAAUGGACCCUAGGCAAGCUUCUAAGUAGAUCAAUCCCUUGAUUCUAGGGUUUUAUCGGUGGGUUGCUAUAUGUGCAACCUAGGGCUCCAAAUGGGGCAUUUUGUAAAGUAUGAGAUUGAUCUCAUUUGAGGCCUUGUAAACCCCAUCGAUAGGUGCCCAAACGCGGGGGCGAAGUCGAUUUCGCGAUUCGUCAAGCGGGCUUAGAGCAAUCGGCGGAUUACGGUCGUUUCGGCGCUAUCUUGGAUUAGGGAAGGCUAAAGCCUUUUCGUAAAGCUCGCCGAGGAGCGUUCUUGAGGCCUCUACGUUGAUAAAAGGUGGGGGGUGUCAUCCCGAAGCUUUCGAACUCCUUUCUAUGUCUUAGAUUGCAUUUAAUCUCAUCUCUUCAUGUUGCAUUGUAGGAUUGCAUAGUAGCUCCAUUCCUUAUGCUUUCUAAAUGAUAACCUAGUGUACUUGGAACGCUUGGUAACUUAGAUAGGUGAGGAUUGGGUCGGAACGUGGAUCCUAUGAUGUAAAAGAAAAGAGGUGAACCCGAUGGGGGUAUUGAUGACAUAGAAGGUAGUGUUAGUGUUAAAGAACACAUGAGUGGCAUCCAAAUGUUAAAUGAUGACGAGUGGCAUUAAUGUAGUGUAUAUGACACUAGAGGUUUGAGAACCUAGGGAUAGGUGGAUCCCUUAGAAAAUGCCUUGUGAACAAUGAAUUUAGAAAACUAAAUAGCAUUGCAUGAAUGUCGGGAACCGAUGAUUCCGCGAUAGUCGUUGACCCUAGUGUAGGGCGUCCUCACUUGGAGAGGAUUCGAUUGGGUUAUUGACUCUAGUUGUAGAGCCUCCUCACUUGGAGAGGAUUGGAUUGGGUGUUGACCCUAGUUACAGUGUAUCCUCACUUGGAGAGGAUAGAUCUAGCUCACAGUCUGCGUUUAGGAUGGUAUAGCCAUCCAAUCCCCACAUGGAGGGGAUUGUCGUCGAGUACUCCGGAGUGUCGCGCGACUAGGACCACUUGGAGGUCCGGACCACAUGGAGGUCCGCAGACGGUCCCGGGCUUGGGUGCACUUGGAGCUCCCUCCCCACUUUGGGAUUGGAAGAUGAGUUAUGGGUGAGCCCUAGGGCCUCGCCACAGAUUGGGUAAAUGAAAGGUUAAAGGUUUAAUAAAUGUCAUUGAACAUAGCUAUUCGAACAUGGAUCGAAUUUGGUAGCAUGGUAGCAAACCUUUAUUAUAUGAUGCAUGCAUUCAUAUUCAUGAUUAUGGGCAUAGUAGCAUAGUUUUCCUACUACUGCAUUUACAGCUUUCAGAUACAUAUCUAUCUAUCUAUCUAUCUGUUGUUACUUGUGCCCACUUGGACCUAGUGGGGAGAUCGGCAGAGUCGGCGGCCGAGCCCACUGGGAACUAUGGAAGAUAGUUCUCACCCCACUCUAUUUUCAGUAGUAGGUACAGGGUUAUCGAGAGAGGACCACGGCAAGGGCAUCGCGCCCGAUCAGUGAGACCGUGGUAGUAUAGUAGCUUUCCUUUUGCAGUAGCACACCUAUGUAUUGCGAGAGAUUCAUGUAGGUGAGGCUGGAGAGUUAUGUAUUUUGAGGAUCAAAUGUAUUCAUUUUGGAAAAUGAUGUAAAUGUAAAGAAUGCAACUAUUGUAAUAGUUAGUAAAGUACUCUCUUUAUUUCACUCGUAUAUCUUGUGGAUUACUUGCUCUUCUUGUUGUUGGCACUGUUUGUGCCCUCGUUGAAUAUGUAUGUUUAGAAUUUAAAGCCCUGGGUAAAUUCUUGUGCACAUUCAUGUUAUUGAGCCUUGGGCGGACAGGAGAGGUGCUGUCCGUUCGGCGGACCGUCGCCACGGCCGAAUCGUGCCAAAUUGGUAGUGGUUUCGGGGCGGGGCGUGACAGCCAGCCUCUCGCCAACUUCACUCCAAUGAAGUGGCGAUCUACACUUCCGUCCAUAAAGUGCCUCGAAGGGUGCCAUCUUGAUGCUUGCUUGAUAACUAUUGUUAUAAGCAAACUCCGCCAUCGGUAGAUGCUGCGACCAUCCUCCCUGGAAGUCAAUCACACAUGCUCGGAGCAUAUCCUCUAAAGUACGAAUGGUGCGCUCCGACUGUACGUCACUCUGAGGGUGGAAAACAGUGCUGAAAUCCAAUCGGGUGCCCAAGGCGUCCUGUAGACUCCUCCAAAAGUGAGACACAAACCGAGUGUCUCGGUCCGAUACUAUCGAUAUAGGCACUCCAUGAAGUCGCACAAUCUCAUCAAGGUACACUUGUGCGAGCUUCUCUCCGGUCCAAGUAGUAUGAAUAGGUAUGAAGUGUGCCGACUUCGUCAACCUAUCCACGAUCACCCAUAUAGCCUCAUGCCCGGCCUGAGAGCGGGGCAAUCCAGUCACGAAAUCCAUGGUGAUCUUCUCCCACUUCCACACGGGAAUAGGCAAACUCUGAAGUUUUUCCGCGGGUAAUCGAUGCUCAGCCUUUACUUGUUGGCAAGUUAGACAACGAGCUACAAACUCGCCAACAUCCUUUUUCAUCCCGGGCCACCAAUAGAAUAACUUUAAGUCCUUGUACAUCUUGGUGCCAUCCGGAUGUACAGCAUACGGUGCUCGGUGUGCUUCAUGAAGAAUGUCCUCUUUGAUUUCCGCAUCCGCCGGUACACAUAACCAUCCGCGAAAACACAUCAAUCCUUGGUCAUCCACAAGGAAAUCGCCGGUGCAACCAUUAACCAUUUUAUCUCUAAUCUUUUGCAACUCCGUAUCGGAAGCUUGCUUCUCUUUAAUCCUAUCCACAAGUGUAGGUUGCACCACCAAAGUCAUCAACCUUAAAGACGUGUCUGGAGUCACUACCUCCAACUCCAACCGCUUCAUAUGCUCGAUCAACUGCGGUUGAGCCACAACAUGCAUCGCUAAGUUUUCUGUCGAUUUCCUACUUAGCGCAUCCGCCACCACGUUAGCCUUGCCCGGGUGGUAUAAAAUUGUCAGGUCGUAAUCCUUGAGCAGUUCCAACUAUCUGUGCUGUCUCAAGCUCAACUCCUUCUGAGUGAACAAGUACUUCAAGCUCUUGUGAUCCGUGUACACUUCACACCGCUCGCCAUAAAGAUAGUGGCGCUAUAACUUCAAUGCGAAGACUACGGCCGCCAACUCCAAAUCAUGCGUCGGGUAGUUCUUUUCAUAUUCCUUUAGUUGGCGCGAAGCAUACGCGAUCACUUUGCCAUCCUGCAUCAACACACAACCCAAUCCAUUAAGUGAAGCAUCACUAUAAACCACAUACCCUGCUCCAGCCAUCGGCAGGGUUAGGAUCGGGGCGGUCGUCAAUCUUUGCUUCGAUUCUUGGAAGCUUCUCUCGCAUGCAUCAUUCCAAAUGAACUUGACUCCUUUAUGCGUGAGACCGGUUCCCGAAAGGGGAACCUUCAGGACUUAGCCAAAUUUAGGCUUCCUCUCGCGGGUGUCGCGCACGGGGACCGGUCCCCUCAGCCAGGGACCGGUCGCAUCGGCCUUGCCCCGCGACCCUCAGCUACGGGGACCGGUCCUUCCCUCUAGGGACCGGUCCCCGAGAGCAAAAAUCUGCUGAGUCCAGAUUUUAUCUAUUUGCUCUCGCGGACUCAACUCCAAAGCACUUUUUGUGUUUUGGGCAUUCUUAACUCCCACAAAGGGUAUUCUCUCGACAGUGAGUCGAUCCUGGACAAAGUACAAUCCUCGUAUUUCGAGAAUUCACUUCCUUACACUGGCAUUAGGCUCUGACGUGCUCCAGGAAGCUGAGGACAAGAUUCGUAUUGCUCGGGAGCGACUUUUGACGGCACAGAGUAGACAUAGGAGCUACGCCGACCGACGACGGUGAGACUUGGAGAUCCAAGUUGGAGACCAUGUUUUCUUAAAGGUCUCGCCGACUAGAGGGAUCAGGAGAUUCAGGAUUCGGGGAAAGUUGAGCUCCCGUUUCAUUGGACCGUAUGAGAUUUUGGAACGUGUAGGUCCGGUAGCGUAUCGACUUGCUCUACCACCGAACCUAUCGGGCGUACACAACGUCUUCCAUGUAUCGGUCCUUCGGAAGUACAUCUUCGACCCGACUCAUGUGUUGGAUGCUACACCUGUGGAGUUGCGGGACGACUUGAGCUUCGAGGAGCAACCAGUGAAGAUCUUGGCUCGCGAGGUUAAGAAACUACGGAAUCGGGACAUUCCGUAUGUAAUGGUCCUUUGGAGCAACCACGAGGAUCGGGAGGCCACGUGGGAGCUAGAGAGCGCGCUGCAGGAGCGCUAUCCCCAUCUCUUACAGAUGGAGUCUUGAGGUAUGUAGUUUGAUUUCGAGUUUCGCGGACGAAACCCCUUUUUAGGAGGGGUGAAUGUAACACACUGGACCUUUGCAAAUUGCGAGGUUCAAGUGUUUGAUCUGUGUUCCGAGCUUUGCCAGAUAUUCUGGAAGGUCGUUGACAGUGUUUUGACCUAUGGCUCGCAUCCCAAGAAUUGAGGUUUAAAGCUUGUACCAAAAUCCAAAAAGAUGGAUUGUUGGUCCUGCUCUCGGGUCAGCCUCAGCCAGGCUGUGUACCGGUACAGCCUUGAUGGUUGUACUGGUACAGGAUUUGUACCGAUACACCUUGAUGAUUGUACCGGUACACUUCGGGUUUUCUACCAACCCGAGGCUCGGGUUGGGCUGUUUCAUAGGAAGUGUACCGGUACACUUUCCCGUGUACCGGUACACUUUCCCGUGUACCGGUACACAAUGCAGACUGGGCUGUUUUCGAGGAGGGGUGUAUUUGCAAUUAUUGCAACCUCUUUAAAUACCACCCCAGCCCCUUUAGCUGCUCUUUUGAGCCCUAGACCUGUGGAGAAAAGGUGAGAACUCUUCCCCUUUGGAUUCUUCUCCAUUUUUGGUGGAUUUUAGUUGGUUUUGAUCUCUCCUUUCUUCUCCUCCUUGUUUUUUGUUGGGUUUCCUCCAUUGUUGAGACUUGGAGCUUGAAGAAGAGCUUGUUUGAGAAGAGAUCUCCAACCCUACUUGGUUUGGAGCUUGGUUUGGGGCAUCUUGUGAGGUUUGUAGCAUGUAUUUCUCUUUUCAUACAUGUUUUAGUGGAUUUGGAUCUUGUAACCCUAGAUUUUGAGAUUUAGGGUUAGAACUAGGAACUUUUGAUUUGAGGCUUCUAGAACCAAAUUGAUUGGUUUAGAAUCAUGGUUUAGGUUGGCUUUGAAGGAUUCUUACUCCCUUUUGGAAAUCAAGAGAGAUUUUCACCAUUUUCGGUGAGUUUUUAGCCCUUUCUUUGAGUUGCUUAAUGUUUGAACUCAUGAAUUGUCGUUUCGAUGUUACUCCCCUAGCCUAUCUCUUAGGGUGCUAGGAGUGAUUAUCGAAGCUUCGUUAGCGUUUCGGACGCCCGCGCGGAGCUUUUGGUGGGUUCGGCUUCAUGUGAAUAGGGGAAAAUUCCUCCUAAGGGGUUAAUAUGUGUUGUAUUAUCAUUUUGCAUGCAUUUUCAUACUAGAUAGGAUUUAUGUGAAUUUUGAAUACUUAAAAUGCAUGUGUUGCGUAUCAUGAAAAUCCUUCUCUACAUAGUAGAGCAUUAUGUGUAGUGUACAUGAAUGUUUAAAGUAUUCUCUUUUUCAAGUUGGAAAAUAUGUUGCAUGUGAGGAAGAUGGUUGAAAUAUGUAUUCAUGAAUAUUAAACUCAUGUUUGAAUAUAGUGAACUAGAAUGCCAUAAAGGGGCACUUGACUUAGCAAAUUGUGAAAUUGCAACAUAGAGACAUAGUGAUAGGCCAUCGAGACAUAUGCUAUAUUUCAUGUUUUAGACAUGACGACAUAGUGAUAGGCCAUUGAGAUAUUUUCCACAUUCCAUGUUUUAGACAUGAUGACUUGGUAUUUGAGACGGACUUUUACGCUUGCUUGCCAUUGUGCUCAUUCACACAUGCUUGUAAGGGUCGCUCCCUACAAGCCGGCACUCCGGAGAUAGCCAUCGCGACAUAUGCUCGCUCGUGCGGGAUUGGGCGCCGAAAUGGAAUGCCGUGGGGGAAGCUCAUUCCUAGAGUGGGGAUGUUGACUACCACGGGGCCAUUAGGCACGGCGCAGGCCAGACAGCCUACGGAUGGGUCUUACAUGAUUGGAACUUAGUGACAGAACAUGCCAUUUGGACUUUGACCAGAAUAGUAAACAAUGACAUUUACUAUUUAGCUUGUGGACAUUAUGUUAGUGAUGCUCGUUUAUAUUCUGUUACAGUAGCUUUAUUACUUAUGCAAUUCAUGCUAAGUAGAGAUAUCAUGUUGUAGUAAGUUACAUGUUUACUUACAUAUCGAUUCUAUUGCUUUUAUUGUUACUUACCUGUUUAGCUCUUUUGGGCCUAGUGGUGCUUUCACUGAAGUCAGUAAUUGCCACUGGGAACUAUUAUUUAAUAGUUCUCACGCCCCCGUUUCUAUGGUUUUAUUUCAGAGCCCUCUACACCGGUGGAGGCACGGGACCGCGGCAAGGGGAUCGCUUAGCUAGCUAGCGAGGAGCGUUUCUUUUGCAUUUUGGUAGUUCGCUCUCCUUUUGUUGUAGUUGAGAGAGAGAGAGUUAUGUUAGUACCUUGUAUAGAGAGACCACCUAUGUAUCUGGUUUAGCAUUUGUACUUUGGAUGUUUAUUGUACUACUUUCUAUUUUUUCUUAGUGGAUUUAGCUCUAUAUUCAUUUCGGUUAUUGUAGCAUCUAGACAUACUUGCUCUGAUACUGCUAGAUGUUUUCUUUAUCUUGCUUUAUUUAUCGUUUUAUUUUAGACGCCUUAUAUGUUUUAGACGUAUGCCGGGUCUGGGCACGUGCCGGGCGGGCUUUCGCUGGGUCCCGGGGCGUGACAACGGAACUCAUAGCAAGUAUGAUCCAUUCUUAACUCUAAGGAUAUAUAGUUCAAUCAUUGUCUUUACACUAACUCUAGUGUUCUUUACAUCACUUUAUUUUGCUAACUCUAGCAAUCAUCGUUCUUUAACUUUACUCGUUCUUUAUGCCAAACUUUGCAUUAACUUUAACCAUUAUCAUUGUUCUUUUCAUCACAUUGAUUCUUUGAUGCCACACACUAACUUUAGUGUCGACUAUAUACUUUCGAAUGCCACUCGAUCUAUGCUCAUUGUGUCUCGUUGUUCUUUUGCCUCACUUGGGUGCUCACAUUUUAUCUCAUGCAUACAUAUAGGGUUAAACAUUCAUAGGGGUUCUCAACCAUCUCAUUAGGCAAAUUGUACUCACAACAUGCAACAUUACAUUAUUCUCAUUACAUAUACCCUACUAUGCUUGCAACAAUGUAUAUAACAUAUACUCAAUUGAAUGACACACUAGGCAUAGAAGGAAGUUCAACGAGUUUGGAUAGCACCACCCACCUCGUAGGUUCUCAAAGGUGCUCCGACGAUUUUCUUGGGAUUUUUAGACACCCGGUUCGCUACCUGCGAGUUAACGAAGCCAAAUUAGGCUUAUUUGGCCGUAACUUUACAUCGGGUUUUCGUAACGUUAAUCCGAGCACACCAACGCGUCGGAAAUACCCCCAAUUAGGUUUCUAGAGGGUCAAUUGCACUUUAGAACCCUCGCAAGCAAAAGCCCCAAUUUUGGUGCCCUAGCUCAUAACAUACAUCAAACCUAGGGUUUGAUCUCAUUGGGAAGCAAAAGAAGCUUCAUUCUACGCUAAAGACUCCACAAAAACCAUCUUUAGUUCAAUCCAAACCCUAGUUUGGAUUCUACCAUGAGAGGGGUUGAAGCUCUCCUUCAAGCUUCACCUUCCACACCAUUCCAUGGUUUUGAUCUCAAAAUGAAGCAAAAGAUAGCUUCAAACACUCUAUAGGUUCUAUUAAAACCAUUUCUAGGUCCAUCCAAACCCUACUUUGAGCUUUACCACUAUUGGGGUUCAAAGCUUACCUUGUAAGCUUUCCUUUUCCAAGCUAGGGAAGGAGAGGAGGGGUCUUCUUCUCUUCCUUGCCUUCUUCUUCACCUUCUUCCUCUUCUUUUCCUUUCUUCUUCUUGUCUUCUUCUUCUCCUUCUUGUCUUCUAGAGAGAGAAAGAGAGAUGAGAGGGGGAGUGUGAGGGAGAGAAUGAGAUGAAAAGCCCUCAAAGCCCCCCACUUAACCAUUGGGUUGCACAAAUGCAAAUAGGCCCCUCAACUUUCACUUUAUUGAACUGCUUGAACUGGGCAGUUUUCGGGUUCGGGGACCGGUCUCCCAACUUGGGACCGGUCCCAGAGAGCUCUCCCGCAGCUCAGUGAGGGCCUUCGCACGAGGCAACCGGUCUCUCCCACAGAGACCGGUCUCUCGGGGACCGGUCUCUCCCCGCAGGGACCGGUUCCCGAGAGCUGGUUUUCUGGGACUUAGCCGAUUUGCAGCCUUUCUCAUUUCUCACGCGUUCGGGGACCGAUCUCUACCACCAGGGACCGGUCCCCGAGAGCUCAAAAACUGUAGUUUGCAGAUUUUUGAUUCUUUAGCUCUCGAAAACCUCCCACAACGCAUUUUUGAUCAUUUUAACACCUUCGGACUUUCCGAAGUGUACCACCCUCGCACUUUGGUCAAUUUGACUAAAGUUCGAUAUUUAUUUUUCAAAUUUUCGGUAUAUUACAUUCUCCACCCUUAAAAUAAUUUCGUCCGCGAAAUUACGCAUACCUUAACUCGUCGAUUCAAAUAGAUGUGGAUACUCUCUCCGCAUGAUCUCCUCGAGCUCCUAAGUGGCUUCUCGCGCCGCAUGGUUGCUCCAUUGGACCUUCACAUAUGGAAUUCUGCGACUCCGCAGCUUCCUUUCUUCUCGAUCGAGGAUGCACACCGGGUACUCCUCGUAAGACAUAUCUUCACGUAGCUCCACGGGCUCGUACUCCAAUAUAUGUGUCGAGUUUCGAAUAUACUUUCGGAGAUUUGACACAUGAAAAAUAUUGUGAACUCCUGCGAGUCUCGAUGGUAGUGCGAGCUUGUAUGCUACCGCACCCACACGCUCCAAUAUCUCAAACGGUCCGACAUAACAGGGACUUAGCUUCUCGUGGACCCCAAACCGCUUUACUCCUCGCAUCGGCGAUACUCUCAAAAAUACGCGGUCUCCAACCGCGAACUCUAAAUCUUUUCUUCUCUUGUCGGCAUAACUCUUUUGCCGAGAUUGUGCCGCCGCUAACCGUUGACGGGCAAGGCGAACUGUAAUGCAUUGGAAAAUUGACCUUGAGCUAAUUGUAAUCAAGUUGAUCACAAUGAUGUCAAAAUAGAAAUUAAGUGUUAAUGAACUUAAUUAGUAGAUUGAGAACAACAAUUGACUUAUUUUGGAACUGUGUAAGUGGGCUCGAAGUGAAUCGGAAGUGCCAAGUGUCACGCCCCGCCCCGAAACCACUACCAAUUUGGCACGGUUCGGUCGCGGCGACAGACCGCCGAACGGACAGCACCUCCCCUGUCCACCCAAGGCUCAACAACAGGAAUGUGUACAAGGAUUUACCCAGGACUUUAAAUUCUAAACAUACACAUUCAACGAGGGCACAAACAGUGCCAACAACGAGAAGAGCAAGUAAUCCACAAGAUAUAGUAUGUGAAAUAAAGAGAGUACUUUACUAACUAUUACAAUAGUUACAUUCUUUACAUUUACAUCAUUCUCCAAAAUGAAUACAUUUGAUCCUCAAAAUACAUAGCUCUCCAACCUCACCAUCAUGAAUCUCUCUCAAUACAUAGGUGUGCUAAUGCAAAAAGGGAAGCUACUAUACUACCACGGUCUCACUGAUCGGGCGCGAUGCCCUUGCCGCGGUCCUCUCUCGGCAACCCUGUACCUACCAC
This 62866-nucleotide long non-coding RNA is filed under the name Ananas comosus (pineapple). Its description in RNAcentral is "long non-coding RNA (ACOM_LNC031538)". Lineage: Eukaryota; Viridiplantae; Streptophyta; Magnoliopsida; Poales; Bromeliaceae. The record is from RNAcentral.